AUUGAACUAAACUAUCUAAUUAGGUAAAAUGGUGGUGGAAUGGAAAAAUUGGACCAAUUAGGAGUUUGAGCAAUAUAAAUCCCUAAUCCAAUAAUUAACUAGAAACAUGGAUAUCAGCCAACCACUUCAUCUCAUUGAAUUGAUAUUUGGAUACUUUUGUCUGUUAUUUUAUUUAGUCAUCCUAGGUGUAGUUUAGUGUAAUUAAUCGUUAACGAUGAUUUUUCGCAAUGUAAUGCUUAGUGAUUAGCUAGCUAGACUUCUUAGUUGCAUACGUUAUCACUGUUAGUAACCUCAUCACCCGAUCUCUCUUUGGUUCAAUCCUCAGAAUACUUUAUGUUCCAUUAUAACAUAUAAAUAUUACAACUGACUUGUCACACGUUUAGUCAAGCCACUUUAAUUUCUGAUAUUUUGUGUAACAACCUGGUUUUGACCCUAAUCGAAAUAGUGGUUUCGGGACCACAAAUCCGAACUAGAAAAAUAUUUUUAAUAUUAUUUUGUGUGUUUAUUUUGUGUGCAUUUGAUUGUGUGAACUUUUUGUGUUUUAAUUUCGUCGUUAAAGUGUCCGAUUUAAAAAAAAGGGCUUAAUCGCGUAAAAUGAAAAUUUAGGGGUAAAUUUAAAAGCACCAAUUUGUUGAUGUCUUUUUAAUUGGGAGGCUUAAAGGUGAAAUUAAACCACUAUAUUGGAUAGUGGGUGGUUGAGGACAAAUUUAACCUUAAUGAAAAUAUAUUAUAUAAUUAGUAAAUAAGGUUAAAUAAGUAAAUAGUUAUAUAUUAUAAUAUAUGAUAAGUAAAAGUAUGAAAAUUAAGAUUAUUUCAUCUUCCUUAGCCGAAUAUUUGAAACAAAAAGAAGCCAUUAAAGCUUGGAAAGGUUCGGCCAUAUUCAUACCAAAUUAAGGUAUGUUUUUGCUUCGGUUUUUGAUGAUUUUUACGUUUUUGAGAUCGUUGCUUUGAAUACUACCCGACCCAUGCUUGAAUUUCUGAUUUUGAUGAAUAUCUUGAGUUAUGCCAUUGAUGAAUGUUUGUGUUUUGUAAUGUUUGAUGAUGAAUAAUGAAAGAUGUCUUAGAUAUUAACAUGUUUUGUCUUGGGAUUUUUGAUGAAUUUGAGUAUUUAGGGCUAAAUUGUGAAAAUAAAUUUUUGAGGGACUAAAAUGUGAAAUAAAUAAAAUGUAUGGACUUGUAUGAAUACAAGGAAGAUUCGGCCUAACUAUAGUGUUGUGAGAUUUUGUGUAUUUUGUGUUUUAUGCAAUAGGGACUAAAUUGCAAAAAGUGUAAAAUGUUUGGGGCAAAAUGGUAAUUUGCCCAUUUAAGUGUUUUUGGAUAAAAUUGAAUGAUUUGAUGAAUAAAAGGGUUAAAUUUGAAUAUGUUUAGAUCGCGAACCGAAGAAAACAGAAUUAGAUCGGGGAAAGUCGAAAGUAAACGAAUAGUCGAUCGCGUCUGCUGAUAUCCGAGGUAAGUCUAUUAGCAACUAAAAGUUAUUAAGUUAAUAUUUAUACAUGUAUACUAAUUGUAUCUUAAGUUGAGCUAUAAAUUAAAGUAUAGUAGUUGAAUAAAUUUUGAAUUGUAGAUUAUUGCAUAUAUCAUGUUCGAAUAUACAAAUAUGAACUUGUAUAAAUUAUUAGAUUAAUUAAAGAUAUGUAUAAGAUAUAUGUAUAUAUAUAUAAGGUUCGAAUGAUUAAAUAAGUAUGCACAUAUAUGUAUAAACUCUUGAAUUUGAUUUGUGAUAUGUAUGUUAUAAUUAUAUAUAUAUAUAUUCGAAUAAGCAUACAAAUAUACAUGUAUGGGUUGUGUAUUGAAUUGAGAUAAGUCAUUAUAUAAGUAUAUGAGGAUCGAUUAUGUAUUUGAAUUUUAUUUAAGGUAUGUACGUUAUAUUGAAUAUGUGAGUUCAAUUAUAUAUAUAUGUAUAUAUAUAAGUAUAGAUUUUCGAAUUAAAAAAAACUAAAAAGGUGAAAUACAUAUACGAAAAUGUAUGAGGUUGAAAUAGUUGUACGUGUAUGUAUAAAUUCUUGAAAUGAAUUUAAGGUAUGAACUAUGUAUUAUUGAAUGAGUGUGGUUUGAAUGGGUAUAAACGUAUGUACAAUUAUUUGUAUUGAACUAAAAGUAUGGAUUGUAAGUACAGAUUGUAACCGGGUUAUGUUUUGCCAAUUUCUUGAAAGUGUGGUUAUAGCUACAUGAAUUAUGUAUAUAUGUUUAAAACAUGUGUAAUGCCAGUAAGAGUUAUAUGAGAAAUUAUUCUCGUAUUUAUGCUAUUCAGGUUAUGUACCUAGCAGGCUUAAUGCCGGUGAAGUAAUUCAGACUUUACGUCUAGCAGGCUUAAUGCCGGUGAUACAUUUCAGACUAUAUGUCUAGCAGGCUAAGUGCCGUUGUACUGAAUCAGGCUUUAAGCCUAGCAGGCUAAAUGCCAGUGAAUCUAUUUAAAUUGUGUGAGAAUAUGCAAUUGAUAUAUCUAUGAUUUUUGAUUAUAUGAAAUCGAUGAAUACAUAAACAUUAGGUUGUUAUAUGUUUGGUGAGUUUACACUUACAUUCGGGUUUUGCAUUGGUUAAACAUAAUUGUAUGGAUUCGGUAUAUACAAUUUAAUAAAGGCAUAUGUACAUUAGGUAUAUGCGAUUGCUGAAUUUAUAAAUGCAUAUGGUGAUAUGUGGUUGUUAAACAUAUAUGUUGAGCCUAUGUGUUUGAUAAUAAAUUAUGUAUGCAUUUGAGAUAUAUAUAUACAUGUACUCAUUUAUAUGUAUAUAUAUAUUCGAAUGUAUGUGUUAGCUAUGUAUUCAGGUAUAAAUUCAUAAUGAAUAUAUAUAUACAAACGAAUAUAAAAUGUGAUUAGUAUAUAUAUAUGUGUUAGAUUUGAAUUGAUUUAAAGCUUACCAUGAGUGUACAUAUAUAUUCGGUUAUGAUAUAUGUAUAAUAUGUAUAUCUGCUCGAUUGUAUACAUUCAAUUGAAAUGUUGUUUGUAUAAUGUAUAUUCAAUUGAUUUCAUUCGACAGGUAUACAUAUCUGAUUAUAAAUGAAAUGGUCUGAGUACAAUAAUGUAUGAAUGUUAGUUGGUCGUGUUAGUUGAAAUUUUAGUAAAAUAGAUUAAAAGGUUAUAAUAUUUAUAUAUUUAUAUAUAUUUAAUAUUGCUGUAGACUUACUAAGCUAUAAAAGCUUACUUCGUUUGUUUUCAUUCAUUUGUUUUAUAGAUUUUGGAGACGCGUUACGAGCUCGAGGAUCGUCAGCAAAGUUCAUCACUCUAUCUACUAUUUCGGUACUUAAAUAUUUGAACUCAACUUAUGGCAUGUAUAGGCUGGACGAGGUUUUGAAUGUUACAUUAUAAAUUUUGUAUAUGAAAUUAAUAGCCAUGCGAAAUGUCUUAUUUCCUAUGAUUGAAUUUGGUUUCGUUGCAUAUGUUUUUAAAAAAAAUGGUUGUGUUUGUUCGGUAAUGCCUCGUAACUCUAAUUCGGCGACGGAGACGGGUUAGGGGUGUUACAUUUAGUGCUGCUUCUCUGCUCUGCGCUCGUAAGUUGUGUUGUGGUCAAAAAUAUAAGAAGCCUCGGAUAAAAUUUACAGUUCGCCUCAUUUUUUCGUGGCAAAUUUUACCAUAAGAAUAUGAAUCUUGGAAAAUUUGUGAUUCAUGUCCGAUCUUUUCCAACAUUUUGAAAACUGUUUUAUAUUCGGUGGUAGAGUUUUCUAUAGAAUGAAGAUUGAUAUGGAAAGGUUUUCAUAGUUAAAUUUCAAGCAGAAUAUUUGCAUGUUGAAGAGAAGAUCGUUGAUGUUAAAAAUCUAAAGUUGAAAAAUCGACCCAACAAAAUAAAUUAGUUCAAGUAAGUAAAUAUGGUGUCGUUGUUUGAAUUUGGUUAAUGAGUAUUUUUUUUGUAUAAUAUUUUCGUUUUAAAUGAAUAUUAAGCAUGUGAAACAAGUUUGGUUGGUGAAGAUGACUAGACAAAUUAAAGUCGUUAUUUAUUACGAUGGUCAAAUUUACGACAUCGAAAUUUGAGUCAUUUUUGUAUUAGCCCAAUCUACAGAAUUGACUUUCAAUUGAAGCAUCAAAUUGAACAAGCUUCUGUUAAGAAUUGAAAGGAAAUUCUUGACUUCAAGUUAGAGGAGAAUAAUUGAGUUUGAAAUACAAAUAUCUAACAUCAAUGAACCCUGUUAGAUAUGAUACAUUUGAGCUCAAAGGCAUCACGGCUAAGAGUUAAUGCUUGAUAUACAUUACUCAACUGGAUGUUAUACUAGAGUUAUAUGCCUCGUUUGUUGAUGCAGAAGAAGGUGUUCUGAGUUUGACAAUAGUUCUAGUUAAUUUGUUUAAAGAAUAGGAAGCAAAAAGUACAACCACACGGUUGUGCGAUGGUUUCACUGCGUUGUUGAGAAGCUCGUAUUAGGGAAUGUUGGAAUCAUUAAUGGGAAUGCAUUCCUCGAUUCCAGUCUUCGAUUUCAACUUUGGUGUACAAUUGGGGUUAGUUUGUAACCUGAAUGCAGAAACCUCGGCAUGAUAUUUUGUGAGUGCAUUUGAUUUCAACUUCAAAACGUUGAUGUCCUAUGCAGGAAACAUGAGUAUUGUAAUACCCCAAACCCGGUCUAGACAUUAUGAAGGUUACAUCGUUACAUAAAAACAUUAUCGAUUAAUUUUUGAAAACAUAAGUAUUUAGAAAAUUAUGUGUGUCCUUUGACAAAAACUGCUUUUUAUUUAUUUUAUUAAAAUAGACCCAAUUGCUUAACCACUUGCUUCGUAAAACAUUGUAUCCAAUUUCCAAAACCUUGUAGCAAAAAACAUUUUAGUAUUCCUAAUUUAUAAAAUCUUAGUAUUUCGUUAGUUAUGUCGUCUUGUUUAAAGAUACCAAUUAUAAGUAAUAAAUUUGCAAAAAAGAACAAAAUAAUUACAAAAACCAAAAUUAAUGUCCCAAAACAAAGUUAACAAUCUGAAAGUCCAUAAUUAAAUCCCAAAACAUGCUUGAACCGAAAAGUCUAAACCGAGCUCCGAAAUUGCCGCCCAAUCCUUAGUCUGAGGAUCACCUAAUAUGAAUCAAAACAAACGAGUUAGCAAGAAGCCUAGUGUGUGACUUGGCCUACAUGCAGAAUAUUAAUAUGUUUACAUACGCGAACAUUAGAACAGAAUUUUCAUAUUUUCAGAAACACCUAUAUCAUAUCAGAGCAUAUCCUACCCUUAUCUACUACACACCAUCUCUGUCCAUCCAAUCACACCAAUUAGGACUACAAGAGUCCAUCCAUCCAAUCACACCGGUAUGUGCAGUAUGUCACUCAUAAAAGUGCAACUGAGUUGCCAGUCAAAAAUUACAGUUUAACCACUAGAAUUGCAGUAAUACUGCCAAAAUACAUUUCCUUCAUCAAAUCAAAACCCACCCCAAUGCAGAUGCAAAAUCUUAUUAACAUACAUAUAAAUCACAUGAAUUACAUGGCAUGCAUACCUAAACAUACUUUCACAGAUAAUACCAUAUCACAUAAAUUAUUCAAAAUUAAGCCUACUCAACAUACUUUCUAAGCAUACUCAUGUGUAACAUACCGAAUUUUACGAUUUUGUAGGCCAACAGAAUGCCCACAGAUCUAAUUUUAGAGUCCCUUAAUCGGCCCCUAUCGAGCCUUCAAAUUGACUAAAAAGGGCCCACACAGCCUACCUAUUCAGGCUAUGUAAUCACACACGCCCAUGUGCUCCACAUUGUCUGGUACACAACCAACCACAUAGCAAUGUGGUGCACACAGUCUAUUACAUAACCUACUACACGACCAUGUGAUACUGGAAAGUUUUAAAAAUAGCCUCUAUUUUCGGGUUUUUCUGAGUUUCAGUCAAGGUUUCAGGUUAGUUUCACACACCUAAUGAUAGUUCUGAUAAAUCAAACAAUAGUACACUCCAAAUCCUACAUACAGUACCAAAAACAUAUCGAUUACAAACAUAAAUUAACCUAAAAUUUCACUUAAAUACCCUCCUUCCCCUAAAAGAAAACAAUCCCAAAAUGACAUUCGAGUACUUACUUCACAGAAACAGCAUCCAAAUCAGCAAUUACUUUGUUGGAGGAUUUCGAUUCUCACACUCUUCACCUAAUCAGAAACCACACGAACACUUAUCACAAUGCAGAAUGAGAAUAACACUAACACAACCCCACCUUGCUCAAAGAAUGGAUUAAAAAAAUCAAAAAAAUAAUUCGACAAAACUUACACUACAUUCAAACCAUAAUCCAAAAGCAAAUACCACGUACAAACACUAAAAGAAAGUGGACGGCAACAAGAAAAAAUUAACAGCAAAAGGAAAAAGAAAGAAAACUCAAAGAAGAGAAAAAAAUAAGAUAGUAGAGAAAAAACAAUAGAAGGAAAAGAAACGUGAAAGAAGUGGUGGUGAGUUGGACAGUUGGAGUUGGGAGUAAAAUUAGGGAUUUUUUUUAAUAAUUCCAAAAAUAUAAUAAGAAUAACUUAUGCACAUCCUAACCCACCAGAUAUUAUAAAAUUCAAAUUGAAUUCCAACUCCAACAAAUAGAAAAUAACAAAAAUAUUUCACAUUUGUACACAAUAAGAUUCGAACACAAGACCUAAAGGUAAUUUGAAGCCUUACCACUAAACCAACAGGCUUAUUCUUAUCAAAAAAACUCGCAAAAUCAAAAGGUAAGCCCUAAAAAUCAAGUUGGGCAUAAUCCAAAACAAGGGAAUCGAACUCAAAACCUAAAGCAAACACCCAAAGCACUUAACCACCAAACUAAAUCAAAUUACUUAACAUAUUUUAACAAUCCAAUAUUAAGAAAAAUUAGGGCAUUACAGGUAUGCCAUCAAGUUACACGAGUGGGAAAUCCAUAAGUAAUAUUGGUUUUAAUGUAGGGUUGACAAGAACAGAUUAUGUUCUCCCUACAACCUGCACUCACGAAGGGACAUCCAAUCUGGUACACGAAAUCGAAACUAGGAUUGAAAACAAAGAUAAAGUUGAAACCAAUUAUGAUCUAAUAUGGGAGUCAGGCCCAAUAGUCGAAAUUGCAUUAUUUUCUAAACCAAUGGUCAUUUCUACUGAACAAAAUGGAAGUGGUUCUGAUAGUAAAGGUCUGAAAAAUAGUGGAGGAACCCAACUAGAUUUUAUGGCAUAUGAACCCUCACCCUACAUGCUUCAUGUCGACAUUGAUGCUCAAGAUGGGUCAGAAUUUUUAGAACUUCCUCAUAAAGGAUUUGGCCGUGCAAGUUCUUCUGCAAAUUUCAGCGAUUCACAAGUUGAAAUGGAGUUUUCCUCCAAAGAUGUUAUUGUAGUGAAAUGGUAUAGCAUAAAGCAUGAGGUUUAUUUCCAUGUUACAAAAUCACAAGUGGAAAAGUAUAAGGCAAAAUGUGCAAUGCGUGGUAGUAGAUGUCCCUAGAAAAUCAUGACAUUGGCAAGAAAGAAGACAGGAUUCUGAACAGUAAAGAAAUGUGAUGCUCCAUAUACUUGUGUUGUUGCAAGUAUGUCAUAGGAUCAUCCAAAAUUUUGGAUUUUGACAUUGUCUUACCUAUAGUGAAAGCAAAUCCUAGGAUUCUCGUAAUGAUUUUGAUUGUUAACAUUUGUAGUUAGUACAAUUACAAUGUGUCAUACUACAAUGCAUUGAUUGUAAAAUAGAAGGCAAUGGAAAAAAUUCAUAAAGUAGGAUAAAACAUAUAAUGAUAUGUGGCAAUGGUUGAAGGUAUUGGAUUAAUACGUCCUAGGUACCAUCAUCGAUUUGUAAACUGAACCUGCAUAUCAUGGAAAUCGAAUGGUCUAAGGAAAAAGAAUUUUCCAUCGUCAUUUCUGGAUAUUUAAGCCAUGUAUUGAAGCAUUUCGGUACUGUAAACCAUUAGUCUAAAUUAAUGGUAUAUUCAAGUAUAAGAGAUAUAAGCAUCAAUUUUUGUUAGUCGUUGCACAGGACAAUAAUAAAAAAAUCAUGCUUAUAGCUUUUUCAAUUGUUUAACAAGAAAUUAUGGAUGUCUUGGACUUCUUCUUGACUAACUUGAGAAAGCAUGUCAUGCCAUAACCCUGUUAGAUCUGGUGCCCUAUGUGUAGUAUUUUCAUCUAAGUACACUUGUAAUUUUUUUGAACAGAUUGGUUAAUAAAAUUGUUCAUGAAUUACAUUAAUACUUUGUAUAUUUUCCUCACAUGGUUUUUGCACGUAAAGCAAAAUGGAAGCAAAUUUUGCUUAUUGGUUGUCUAAUGUUUAACUAAUACUAAAUGGUAUUACGUGGUCGGAUCGUAGUACAAAAAAAUAGCUUGUAUUAGUAUACGAACCUAAACAUGUCCUUAGUCUAAUUAGAAAUGAGCAAAACGAUUAAAAGACUGAUAUGUCAUCUAUCAAGUCCAAUUGGGGAGAUGUUUUGUCUUGGGCAUCAGAGCGAAUGACUCUCAGAAGAUAAAAACAUAGAUGUAACUAGCUAGACUUACAGUAUAUCGAACAGUACCCAAGCAGAAUAGAUUUUGAAUUCAUUUGUAGAUUUAUUCACUUGUGAUGUUCAUAGUGUAGCAUAUCUAAAUCCUCAGUGGUUGGCGGACUAUGUAUGUGUGACUCAUACACUUUGAUGUAACUAAAAGCCUAAGUUCAAAUAGAUAGGAACUAAAAGUUGGUGUGUUGGGUAUACGACUAUCGUAGUAUGUAACGACAUUCACGACAGUAGACUUCAUAGCUCAAAACAUGGGUAAAUGAUAUCCUCUAUUUGGCAUUACAUGGUUGAUCAAAAGUAAACGUGGUCACGUGUUGUCCGUCUUUGUGACGGAUUCGAGAACUUAAUUAUGGAUAACUUGAUCACUAUUUGAUAUGUCCAAUUAGUCCCUCCGCUAUUUGAUUUAUAAUUAAGUUCCUGAUUUAUUAUUAUUAGGCAAAAAUUAGGAACUUAAUUAUAAAUCAUUUGAGCAUUAACUACAUAUGUCCAAUUGGUCCUUUCGCUAGCUCGUUGAAACCAGAAAUGAAUUGCAUGUUUAAAUAUAAAUGAACGGAAUGAAUAGAAAAAGAGAAAUAGGAAACAUUCAGAAAUAAUUAUGGUUUUCUCCAAAAUGGAGAAAUAAAAUCAUUUGGAAAUAAAUGUAGGUUUCCAAAAAUGAAAAUGAAAAUGGAAACGAAAACUUGUAAUCCUAUAGGAUUACUUAAAAAAUUAUGGAAGAAUUAGUUUAUGUUUUUGGACUGUUUUGAAACUCGAAAAUGAAAAUAAAUCAUUCGGUCAUAGUGAACAUGUUGAGUUGUGACAUACUGAACAAAAUUUCUCGAAAUUUUACUGGGGGUAAAAUCAUCAAAAUUUUACCGAGGUGAAAUUGUCAAAAAUUUUACUGGAAAAAUUUUACUGGAGUAAAAUUGGGAUGAGAAAAUUAUUUAAUAUGUAAAUAUUAAAGUUUAUUUUGGGAAAUAGAAAACUAAAUUAGGUUGGAUCGUAUUACAUAGUAUUGGGUUAAAAAGGCCUAAGAAGUACUUGUAAUUAGACCCGAUGUGAGAAAUGCCCAAAACCCCUCAUAUAAAAUGAAAGGGGCGGCAACCCUAGUAAAAAUACAAGGGUGGGUUGUUCACUCUUCUCCCACUCUAAAUAAGAUGUUAUUUUUCUAUUUAAAAUAAACAUCUACAACUCUAUAAGGGUUCUACAUUCUCUUCCUAUAAAUAGAUGGCACUGGUAGAGCUAUUUACACAACUUUUGAGAUAUUGUUAUUCUGUCGAAAAAUAAUGAGAAUUUAUUCUCAAUUUUUAAAUAUAUUUUUCAAGAAUAACAAUUUUGUCGGUUUCUUUUAUAGAAGAGAGAGUUUCCAUUUUCACCCUAAAAAGAAAAAUUUUUCUAGUUCUAUAUUUUGGUUAAAUUGGUUUGAGCCCACAUUCGAAGUUGUUCGUGGUACGAGAAUAGCGAAAAAGAUCGUUUGGUUGAAAGCCGAAAAAUAUCAAGGAUUCGCAUAUCAAAAAAUACAAAUGCGUAUUCAAUUAAGGUUUAUUGUUAUAAAUAUCACAAAUUGGAUCUAUUUUCAAAAUUUUAAUUUUCUGCUAUGCAAGAAAACCGUUUUCAAAUCGGGUUUUUUCCAACAAACUGAUAUAUGCAUCAUUUCUGAUAGGACACCCGAAAUACAGGUUGCAAUUGGUCAACAUGAAAGCCUAUGAAAUCGUACACACCAUAGGGAUUGUAUACAUCGUAUCAUGGCAAAUUACAUGGGUCAAUUCCACAAAGAUGAGGAAUGAUGAUAUGUUAUUUACAUGGGUAUGUAGUAAAUAUUCAUUUUUUAGCAUAUACAUUGUUUGCAUUCAUGGAUAUUCUUUAUUUUCUUCGACAAGAUACGAGCUAUUCCAACAUCGAUUCCAUGAAAUGUUGAAAAAUUUGCAAGCAAUAAACACAAAAGGUAUUGAUUACCUCGACGAGAUACCUAAGGAACAAUGGACUCAAUCAUAUGAUGGAGGUCUAUGAUACGGGCAUAUAAUAAAGAACCUAGUGAGAUGCAUAAAUUCCUUUUUGAAUGGGGGGACGUGUCAUUUGUCGAUAACAUCGAUGGUGAAAGAAACACAUUUCCACUUUUCAAACUUGUUUCUGAAGCAAGCAGAAAAAUAUGUUAGAUAAGGGGUUGACACAUUUGGUGCGAGGAAAGAUAUGGUAGAAAAUGCAACAAGGGUGGACACUAUGAUGGUAGUGUGUCACUCACACACAAAUGAAAUAUUUCAUGUUACAGCACUUCAUUUUCUAUGCACACAUUCAAUUGCUACAUGUCUCGGUAUAUAAUCUAGUAUGAUCCCUCGAGGAGAUUUUGUCCCCACACUAAAAGCCAUGUACAAUUCAUGAAUGGGACGGCGUCUCAACCGUACUUGGAUGUAUAGCCACCGACCACCCACCAAAAGGCAAUGUGAACAUCUCAAAGUUGGUGGGAUUCAAACCCCCCAUAACCUAUGCCAAAUAGAUCAAUAGUGGAGUAUAUGGUACCACUUUAGUCAACUCCACUUAUUGUCAUAUUGUCAAUAUGAUGUGAUAUGUUAUUAUUCAAUUACUUUUGAUGCCUAAAAAUAAAUUGCACUUUGUGUAUAAUUUUUCCAAAUAAAACUCUGUCGUCUUAGUAAUCAGAAUAAGGUUUGUUUUUGGUUAAGUGGGUGAAGUUUUUUGUAGGGUUAGAAUCGAAUUGCACUAAACGGUACAAUCAAGAAUUGGGAGACUAAUCCAUUCAAUACAUUAUACGAAACCGUUUAUUAAAUGAAUGGGUAGAUUUUAGGGAUAAAAUUAAAAAGAAAAACCUACUUAGUUUAUACUCUUAAUAUUUUUAACAGGACGAAAUUUGAAUCUUUGGCCUUAUAGUCUCAUGUUAAAGACAAUCAAAUCAAAUUAUAUACUUACUAUUAUCAUCUUACCCAUUAUCAUAGUUUUUACUCAAAAACAAGUAAUAGUGAAUGGAAUACUCAUUAGUUUAGUGUGCACAGCGAAGUAUAAAUGAUUUUUACUCCAAACAAAACGUACAUAAUUUUUCAAUCAAUUAAUAAUAAAAUAAUUUAAAUUAAAUUAAAUUAAAUUAAGAUACUUUUUUAUUUAUAUUUUUAUAGAUAAACGUUAAAAUUAAUAAUUAAUAAACAUAUAUCGACUCAUUGCCGUUCACAUCCAAGUACUUACUACUGAUAACAAUUAAAACGUUCACAACAUUCUUCAGUUGACCAUCGAAACCAACACUAACUAGAUUGAAUAAGAACAGGGUACAAGUUCAGAUUAUUGAACAGCUCCACCAAACUGUUAUAUAAAUGUUAGAUUUAAACACAAUACACACUACUAACCAUAAAUGCAUGUAUUUCUCGCAGGUUCAAAUCUCUCUCCCCACAACUAAAAAUAAAAUGUUUUAUAUCUCAAGUUCAUCAACUCUCCAGCUUAGCAGGCAUGUGCCCAGAACCUGCCACCAGGCCCGUUCUCAUAAGAAUAUAAACACUCUAAGCAGCGGAAAAAAUGUAAUAAACAAUAAUAUUGGGAGAUAAAAGCCAUAUCACUUAACCAAAAAAACUUCAUUAACUUAUGUUACCCGGACUCUUCAUUUUCACUAAAAUAUCCAUCUCCUACAUUUAUUUGGACAUGGUAGAGUAUGACCCUUCAAUUUAUAGAAAGCUUUUUAAAAAAAUUGGGUCUACCCAAGUCGGAAACAAACAAAUAUCCAACACUCACCCAAGUCCAGGUAACAUAGACACAAGCUCCGUUUUCUCGAGUUACAAACAAGAAGCAAAAACUUUAAGCUCUUACCUUCCUCUUGAGAUCAUUGCGCAUGCCAAAAUCCAAAAAUCUACGGAUUGCAGAAGACAAACAAGACAUAGCACUUUCUCAUGCUUAUGAUCAUUCUGCAUCCAGAUCUGCAACUCCCUGAACUAGCAAUUUUCCUAGAAACAUUGCUAUAUACAUAUACCACUGAAAACCAAUAUCGAGUCAACACAAUAACGGUAGACGACUCGAUGCAUCAAUUCCCAGCAUCAUUAAGAUAGUGCAUGCCAAAACUAGCCAUACAUUAUUAUACAAUAAAGUUGUUACAUGAUUAAAAGGAAAUGCACCAUUGGCAGUCCAUUUCUCUGAGGAUUAAGCUGAGGGAAAGUUCGGUAUUUCAUUUUGAAGUUCUUUUUAGAGAUGUUUUCCAAGGUAUUCCCUUGAGAAUUUGAAGUAGGAAUGCAAAUGACAACUUGAUUAAUAAACAUUAAUCAGCUCAAGGACUACUGAGAUGCUUUAGAUGUUAAUAAUAUAUAAUAAAAAUGCCUGCAAACCAGAUUGUCUUCUGCAAUACUUUUCAGGGUAAACUGGUUAAGUUCAGGAUAAGAUCCAACCAUAAAUUCAGACAACUGAACAAUUAAGAGAGAAAGCAGAAGACAAAUUAUAAACCAGGCACUUGGUACAACAGUCAGUGGAUGGAAGAAGCAACAAGGUUUUGAACGACUAAACAAAUGCAAAACUACUGAGCAGAAAAGACAUCAAACAAAAAAGGAACUGUAAGGCAGCAACAGGCAUUUCCGGCUAGCAAGGUUCUUGGGAGCACAUAUUAUAGAGCUUGGUAUUUUGGUAGCAUGGACAUGGCAAAUUUCAAAGAAAAUAGUAAUAUCUCCACAUAUAUUUGGUCCUUCUAGGUAGUAGCAUCAAGGUGGGCCCUGGUUCAUCUGGUCUUCCGGUUUAGGCAGGCUUCAUCAAAGUAGGCACUAGGCGGGCUUCAGGCUUCGUAAAUCUCAGCUGUUUUAAUGGGAAUGGAUAGGCAACAAAGGGAAAACAAGUGCAUCAGAACCCUAAAUAUGGAGAUAGGAGAGGCUAUGUUAUCCAACUGUCAUACACUAGUAUGUACCGGUCCAAUCAGAGAAUUGCCAGUUAUAAUAAUAGACAUAACAGAACCAAAGUAAAACUAUAGUCUGUCAGCACGUACCAAUCAAAAAGAAUUUAGUAACCAUAGUUUUUGCGCCGGGAAACAGAGUUAUGGCUGGAUAACCUGGUAAGAAAAGUUGGUGAGGAUUGUUGCAGAAUCCUAAGAGAGUAAUCAUAUCUAAUCAAAACUAAGCAUGUUGUAGACAUGCUUGGGGAAGGAUAAAGUGGCAUUGUUACCCUUGAAGAAAACUUUUAAGUCAUGUAGUUCACAUAUUUAAAUAUGAUGCUUAUAAUAGUGCAAUGCUCACUCAUCUCAAAGCAUUUCUCCUGUAGUAGAUGAUAGUCAUGAAUAGUAAUAUAGGCAACAACAAAGACGUUCCUUUUGAGGAAAGAAAAUUUCUCACCCAGAGGGACCACUGCGUCCUGAUGAAUAACCUCCAUAAGCUCCAUAAGCACUGUUACUAACACCAAUCUAGAAAUAUAUAAAAAAUAAUGAUUACUCAUGUGCAGUGCAGUAAGAGGAGCAAUAGGGCAGUCACAAGAGAACUAAUAAAAGGAUAACGUGAACAAGGCUCAUGAAACAGUUAAGUCCUCAAAAGAAAUACCUGGGGAGCACCAUAAGUUCCAUAGCUUUCACUAGGAGCUAAAUCACUGCUGCCAUAACCACCAGAAUAGGUAUGCCCCCGUCCAUGCCUCUUGCUCUCUCUACUUUCAUAACUCAAACUAUCUGUUCCCUCAGUUGGCAUAGGGAGAUAUGGUAAAACUGGCACUAAUGGAGAAACAACACCUUCCCUAUCAAAAAAAUUUGCUCUUAGCCGUGUUGUUAUUUGUACAAGGGCAUCCUUCGCAACAUCAAGGUCUCCAGCAAUCUGAUAAUAAAAAAACAGAGAUGUUCACUUUAUGCAAGUAUUAACUAAAACAACUAUGAACCAACAAAUACAAAGUAAUGAUUAAGAUAAUACUGUCAAAACUAUAGAAGUACUUCACCUGGACCAUCUCAUCAUCUUCAGAUGCAAUCUUAGGAAGGUUUUCCUUAGACAAGAUACGAAUGUUAGCUUUUGUCAUCCGCCUCAUCUCAGUUACAAUAGAUCCUCCUUUACCAAUAAGGCAGCCAAUACGUGAGGUUGGCACAAGUAAACGGGUUGUGAAUGAUAUAAUUCCGGAGUCUCUUUCAACCUUCUCACUGCAUCUUGGUUGCAACCUUGCAGCAGCUUCAAUAGUAGGUGAAAAUGUAUCCUCAAAAAACUAAUACAUCACAAAUUUUGGAACACUGUCACAAGCCUAGCACAAGGCAUAACGUAGAGGAUUUCUAAAGAAAUAUAAUCAAAGUUAAAAGCUGACCUCCUUGGCUGAUAUUGUUAUUAAGCAAUCAUCUCCAUCGCUGCUUGAGCUAUCAACUUUAAUGACUGCACCAGAUUCCUGCCUGAUCUGGUUGAUUAUUGCACCACCUUUGCCAAUUACACCUCCAAUAUUAGCAUUCGGACAAACUAUACGAAGGGAAAAUUCUUUUGAUGAUCUCUCAUCUCUUGGAGCAGAGUACAAUGAGCGCGGCCAUUCUCCAGCAUCACCUUUGUAUCCUCCGUAAGGACCCACCAAUGAAGCUAAUGGUACAAUCGGAGCACCAGCAGCAGGACCAAGCAGUGCACCACCAGCAGUAUAUGCAUUGGACAUGGCAGAAGCAAGCAAGUGCUGAGAUCGUGAAGGAUUCUCAUGAAGGCGAGAUGCAAUUUGAUGCAGAGCCUUCUUCACAACUGCAGCUUCCCCAGAUAUCUAAAGCCAAAAAUACAUAUAUAAAUAUCCAACUGUAAGAGAACAUCAUAAACAGUAUAACCAAACAAACAAAAAAAUUAAAAAGAAACAAAAACUUAGAACAUAUUAGAAUUAUCUAGACAUCCCAAAGAAUAGAGACAAAAGACUUCAGUACUAAAGGCUGAAGUUUAAAAAGUGUUGAAUUUGUCAACUCCGUUACCGGAAAUGUUUACAGGCCCCUGCAGCCCUGCCACAGUAAAAAGUCCUUGUAAAUGCCCUCAAUAUCAAUGUAAGACUAUGGCCCGAGCUUUGUUUUAGAGGGAAGGGGGGAUUGCAUAACAAAUCAGAAUCUAUCUAAAAAUGCAACCUCAACUAUCAAAAAGUAAAAUUACCUGUACAAGUUCAUCCGUGGGCAAGGCACAAGAAGGCAAAUCAUCCUUAAGAAUGCGGAUCUGAGCACCAGUUUCACUGCGUAUGUUCUGAACAAUCUGCCCACCCUUUCCUAUGAUACAUCCAAUCUGAUCAGAAGAUACAAGAAGCCGAGCAGUGAUUGGGUGGCCUUCUGAUUCUUCAUCACCAUGCAAAUCUUCUGCAACAACUUUGUCAUGCACCCGGAAUAAAGCAUCUUGAGCAGGAGAAACAAAACUGUCACCAUCUUCAACAGCAUUUGUCUCAUCCCGUGAGCUGUAGAUAGUAACCACUCGCUCCUCAGAACCAGGAACUGUCUCACCAAUUCUAAUCUUUGAUUUAGUGUCUACUCUUAAUUGCUUCACAAUCUCCCCUCCCCUUCCAAUAAUGCUUCCUAUCUUUCUUACAGGGCAUAAAUACCUAUAAACAGUAUCUUCCGAAUCAACAAUAAAUUGCUCCCUGUCAUCACCAGCAUUUCUCCUUUUAUUUGCUCCAUUAUCGGGAUAGUCAGACUGAGAACGAGCCCGCUUCCCAUAACUAUUUCUCUGACCAGCCAUAUUAUCAGCAGAACAAUUACCUGUUUCAAAGUCUAUCAAAAGCUUAUUUUCACAAAAAAAAUUAUGUUUGAAUAAAUACUAGAAUUCAACCAUUUGAUCAUUUUUAGUCAAAUAGGAUUUUUUUCAGAAAAUUCAAGUGAAAGCAAAUAGUAAAACUAUAUUGAAAACAGUGCAAUUAAAUAAAUCCUUAACACCCCCAACAACUUAGCAUUUCAACUACACAAAUUCAAAUAUGACCUACUAAUUCCAACUUCGACCUACAAAUUUAUAUUCUAUAACAAACUAAACUCCUGCUUCUAAUAACCCAUCCUUAAUAUGACAUAUAAUGAAGAAAAAAGCAAUAUCUCAUAGAUUCUAUAACAUAAAAAAGAAUAUCAAAUCAAACCCAAAAAUUUCAACACCAUGCAUAUAAAUGGUCUUCCAAAAUUGACCAGGAAAAAAAGAAAACAUUUUAUCUAUUCAAACCCAAUAACUUGAACCCAAAAUCACCCCCUCCCCCCCCCCCUUCCCAAAAAACAAAAAGAUUGCAUGCAAAGAUAUUAUAAAUAACAGCAGAAAAAACACAGAUCUGAUAAAAAAAAGACUCGAAGUAAAAAUAAAAAUAAAAAGAACAGAAAAAUCAACAGGCAAUAAUGUAAAUAAAGGGGAAAUAAUAAUAGGCUAAAGAUGGGGGUUUUACCUGACAAAUGAAAUCGAUCCUCAGAGAAGACUAUGAGUGUUUAGACACGAAAAAAAGAAAAUAUUUGUUACGCCUAGCGUCUCCUCUAUUUUUGAUUGAUUCUAGGGUUUUGGUUGACCCAUUCUUGCUUUUAUUCUGUUUUCUAUAUGCGUUUAAAUAAUUAAAGAGAAGCUAGUUUCCACAUCGUGUGAUGCACGGUUAAUCCUGCCGUGUGCUAUUGAAAAUAUGUUUUUUUUUUUGGGGUAAACAACUGAAUUAGUAGCUAUAUCUUUACUGUGCUUUUAUUUUAGUCAUUCAACUAUGUAAAUUUUUCACUAAAUUAUUUAAGUUCAAUUUUUUAGUCAUGUCUAAAAUAGCUGGAUGAUGUGACUUGUUAUUUCUUAGAUAAAUUACAUGAAUGGUCAUUCAAUUAUGAGAGUAUUUUUAUUUUGAUCACUCAAUUAUAAAAAAAUUUUAAUUUAAUCACUAAAGCUUUUAAAAUUAGAAUUUUUAGUCACUAUAUCGUUAAGUUGAUAACAUUAGUUUGACCUAGUCCUUUUAUUUAUUAAAUAUUAAGUUUAGCUCUUUAACAUUUAUAUCUUUUAUCAAUUUAGUCUUAACUCUAAAACGCCAACAAAUUUAACUCUCAACAUCUACAAAAUUUGUCAAUUUUAUCUUAAUUAUUGGUUUUUUCUUUCUUUCUACCUAUUCCUCUAGUCUCUUAGUCGAUGUUAUUCAACGUAGAAAAACUUAAAAGUUUUCAAUUUCUUAUGCCAGAAAAAUCAUAAUUUAUGGGUACAAAUUUUUAACAUUUUAAAUUAAAUAGUGAUUCUCCAAGUUGAAAUUUUCAAAAAAAAUUAAUUUCCGACAUCAAAAACACCAUAAGUCAUCGAAUAUAUCAAUAAAUGCAACCUAAUCUCAUCAGUAACAUUAAUUGUCAACUUAUAUGUGAUAAGGUAAAAAAACAUAAUUUUAUAUAACUAAUAUUAAAAUUUUAAUUUGCAAAAACUAAUUUUAAUUUAACCAUACCUUAAAAGAAAACAUUUAAGAAUUUUACUUUAGCCAUGCAUUCAAUAUUUUUUUUUAUUUUUUAAAAUGAAUAAGUUAAAUUGCGGUAAAAGUAUUAUGUAGGCCUUAUAUUAGGGUUAGAUUGUAUUUUACCUUUUCUACUAAAAAAUGGGUAAAUUAGUCUUUAGACAUUAGAUCAAAGAGUAAAUUGGUCAUUCUGUUAAAAAUUCAUCUAUUUUUACUGUUAAAAAAUUAGUCUUUAUAUGUUAAUAUAAGGUACACGUGACACAUCACGUGUAACUGUCUAAUUAUUCUAUCAACUGCAUCAUUUUUAAUAGUAGAAAUAGAUGAAAUUUGUAACAGAAAGGACUAGCUUACUCUUUAAUCUAACAUACUGAGACUAAUUUACCUAUUUUUUUAGUAAUGAGGACAACAUGCAAUUUAACUUCUAUUAUAAGGUACCAUAGUACUUUUAUUGUUAAAUUACAAAUGUUUUGAUGUAAAAUUAAAGAAAUUAUUAAAAUGAAUGUGUUGGAAUUAAAAGGUAUAUUCGACCCAAACAGCCAGCUAUACCAUCUUUCAAUUUUUAACAUUCUUUUUCCAUAAAUAGAAUAAGGGUGUUAGAGUAAAAAUAGCAAUGGCAGUAAGAUUAGAUACUGUAGCGACACUAUAGCAUGAGACAAAAAGUAAGCUAAACACACCACAUCGCACCCGAUCACCCAUCCAAACCCAUAAGUAGUACUAUUCAUAUGUUGUGUGUUGUUGCUAGCCAUAUAUACUUCUUUCACAUUUGAUUUAUCUUUAAAGAACAAGUAUUAGCAUAAAGAUUGUUCGGUUAUUAUAUUAACUUGGUAUUCAUCAAAAUGUUUUAAGAAAAAUUAUUUAAAUAGAUCUUCAUAUAAAUUAUAGGUAUAGGGAGAAAAAUAAGACUCUGAUGAUAUCUUUGCAAUAUUCAACGCAGUUUCUAUCAUUGUUCUGUUUUCUUAUGGAUUCUUCAACAUUUGAUUUAUCUUAGGGCUUUGUCUUAGUGUCAUGAUUUUAGUUUUCUCAACAAAUACUACAAUCCCAUUUUAUAUACAUUUCAUUAUUCAUCAUUCAUGUUGAGUCAUUGCCUAUUUCACAGGACUAGAACUUUAGUCUAGCAAAUUACGCGGCCUUAGUCGAUUUCUUGGAUUCAAAUCUGUCUAAAUCAGCAUUACUCUUGAAAACUAUGAAUUCUCGCAGAAAUUCUCUAAGGCAUCAAAACAAAGUGGAAGCAAAAGAGAAAGAAACCACGAAUGAACAGAAAAGCCACAGAAAAAUAACGCACACCAAGUGUUUGAGUAAAUGUUCUCAAUAAUAUUUUUAACUCAAGAAUAAAGUGAUUACAAAUGAAUGGGGAGGGCUCUAUUUAUAGUUGAGCUCCCCUAAAUCCAAUGGUAAAAAUCGAAUUACAUUAAUGGCUGAGAUUAAUUCUCAUCUAAAAUAAGAGAGUCUUAAGGGAUUUAAAUUUUAUACAUGUUUAUCCUUUAAGAUUUAUAAUGAUUAUCCUGGUAUAAUAUAAUUUACUCAAGUGUUUACAUUUUAACCAGAAUCCAAUAAGAUGGGCCUUGAGUCUCUUCAAAGUAAUGGGUUAGUCCUGUAGGGCUGAAUGACCCCAAGUGAACAUGAAGGGUCUGAAAUAUACGCAUCAAUUGCGGGCUCUUUUGUGCAGCCCAUGACAUUCUCUUCCACCUAUUCUCACGACACCCUCAUCACAUCCUCAGAAUGAAACUAGUCUAUCUUCUCUUGGAAUUGCCAUAGAGCCUCAUGUUAGAUCUGGUGCCCUAAAUGUAGUAUUUUCAUCUAAGUACAAUUGUAAUUUUUUCGAACAGGUUAGUUAAUAAAAUUAUUCACGAAUUAUAUUAAUACUUUGUAUAUUAUCCUCACAUGAUUUUUGCAUAUAAAGUAAAAUAGAAGCAAAUAUUAGCUCAUUGGUUGUCUAAUAUUUAACUAAUACUAAGUGGUAUUACGUGGUCGAAUCGUAAUACGAAAAGACAACUUAUCUUAGCAGAUGAACCUAAACAUGUCUUUAGUCUAAUUGAAAAUGAGCAAAUCGAUUGAAAGAUUAAUAUGUCGUCUAUAAAUUCCAAUUGGGGAGAUGUCUUAUCUUGGACAUUAGAGCGGAUGACUCCCAAAAGUAGAGACAUAGAUGUGACUGACUAGACUGACAAUACAUCAAACUGAACCCAAAAAGAAUAGAUCUUGAAUAUGUUUAUAGAUUUAUUUAUUUGUGACGUUCAUAGUGAGGCAUACCUAAAUCCUGAGUGAAUGUCAGACUAUGUAUGUGUGACUCGUAUACUUUGAUGUAAGUAAAAGCCUAAGUUCAAAUAAAUAAAGAAUUGAAAGCUGGUGCUUUUGGUAUACAGCUUCUGCAGUAUGUAGCGUCAUUCACAAUAGUGGAAUUAAUAGCUCGAGACAUGGGUAAAUGAUAUCCUCUCAUUGGCAUUACAAGGUUUGUGAAAAGUAAACGUAGCCGCGGAUCAUUCGUCUUUGCAAUGAAUGACUUGAUUACUAGUAAUUGAUUUUUCAUAAAGGAAGAUUUAAUGAUUACCAUGAGAUAAAAUAAGACCAUAUUGGGAGAAUGAAUAUUAUCCUAAAGAGAUUAAGGAUAUCCUAUGAGGGUAACACACUUAUGACAAGGUCAUUGGACGAGCAAUAAUUGAGUUGCUUUCAUAAUGAUAUGCCAUUAGGGAGAGCUCAGUCACGAUACUAUAGUGGAAUGACUUCAUGGAUACAUAAGUUUAUAAUUAAUAUGUGAAAAUCCAGAACUUAAUUAUAAAUCAUUUGAAUCCUAAUCACAUAUGUCCAAUCAGUUCCUUUGUUAGCUCAUUAAAACUAGAAAUGAAUUUAAUAUUGAAUCAGAUUAAUUGAAAUGGUAAAAAUGGAGAAAUGAGAAACAUUUGGAAAUAAUUAUGGUUUUCUCCAAAAUGAAAAUGAAAAAUGAAAUUGACCUGGAAAUGAUUUUAUGUUUUUCAAGUAUUAAAUAUAUUUUAAUGCUUCUACAAUUCAAUAAGGGUUCUACUUUUUCUCCCUAUAAAUAGAUGGCACUAUAGGGUUAUUUACACAACUUUAAGAUAUUGUUACUCUACCCAAAAAUAGUAAGAAUUUGUUCUCAAGUAUUAAAUAUAUUUUCUGGAAUAACAAUUAUGUUGCUCUCUAUUAAGAAGAGAUUUCAUUUUCACGCUAAAAGAAAAGAAAACUAUUUCUAAUUCUGUGUUUGAUUCAAAUCGUUUGAGCCCACACUCAAAGUAGUUCAUGGUACGAGAAUAGUAGAAAAGGUCGUUUAGUUGAAAGCCAAGAACGACAAGGAUCCGCCUAGCCAAAAACACAUGUGAGAUUUCAGUAAAGGGUUUAUUGCUAUAAAUAUCACAAAUCGGUUUGGUUUUCAAAAUUUUUAUUUUCUAUUAUGUAAGAAAAUCAUUUUCGAACUAGAUUUUUUCCAACACCUUAGCAAGUUCCCAAUUAAACUCAUUGUUGGGAAGUCUCUUCCGACGAACAAGGUACUCAUGCCUUGGCCUAUAGUACUUCUGUCGGAUUACUCGAUCUGCCACGAUGCACUCAACAUCAUGAUCAUAUGAAAUAUUUACCCCAAUUGGUGCUCGUUCAAAAUUGCCUCAAUUUGGAUUCUCCGAUCAUGGAAAGACUUAAACAUGCUGACAAGGAAAACCAGAUGAACCUUGAGUUUUGUUGGUAAAUCUAGUUUGUAGACCAUCUUGCCUACCCUUGUGCAAACUGGUGUGGUGCAAAAUCAAGUGCAAUUUAGUAAGGACUGAGUCACCAACCUGAAACUGCAUAUCUCUGCAAUUCUGAUCAACCCAUUUCUUGUUGCGCUUACUUACCUUGUGCAGGCAAGCUUUAGCUAAGUUAUUAUGCUCUUGUCAAUCUUUAGCAAAUCGAUGAGUUGUUGGAUUUAGUCUUGUAUAACGGGUAGCAACAAUAUUGGGUGUAAGUGGUUGUUCCCCCAUCAAUAUCUCCAAUGGACUCUGAUUCGUGGCCCCACUCCGCUGCAAGUUAUAAGAAAAUUGGGUCACAUCCAACAACUUUGGUCAGUCCCUCUGUGUGGCAUUUACAUAGUGCCAAAGAUAAGUCUCCAAUAAAUCAUUUACUCUCUCAUUUUGCUCAUCAAUUUAUGGAUGCAUGCUAGUAGGAAAGUUCAAGUCUGACCCAUUAACUUGAACAACUCUAUCCAGAACCGGCUCGUAAACCAUCCAUCUUGAUUACUAACAAUAGAUUGUGGCACUCCCUAAUAUUUCACCACAUGUCAAAGGAACAAACGAGUUGCCUCAUCAACAGGGCACUUGUAACACCCCUUACCCGUAUUCCUUACCGGAACAGAGUAUGAGGUAUUACUAAAUUUUUAAAAAUUUUCGACAGCAUUCCUACUUAUUUUUGCUUAAACCUCCUGCAAAUUUAGAACACAUUCCAAUAUACCAACCAAUUUCAUUUGUAUAAACACACAUAUAGUUUAACUAUUAAUAAACACUACAUUUAAAAGGGAACCAUAACAUAUAUUUACAUGAUGAUCCCACAUUACAUAAAGUGUCUAUACAUGCCAUAAAAUUUUGGAACACUAGUAGUAAAAUACCCCAAAUGUGAAGGAUAGUGUAGAUGAUUGUCUGACUUCGUUCCAAUUUCUGAGUUGUUGGAAGUCACUAUAACCAAGAGAAAAAUAAAAUCGAGUAAGCAUAUAGCUUAGUAAGUAAACACAUGAUAAAUAAGUAAUUACUCCCAUAACUACACCAAAAUAUAAACUUAUUCAUGAAUAACAAUAAUUUAUUGUUUAGGCAAUUUCCAGCAAGCUGUUUUUCUGCGUCAUAGUCGCUAAUUUAUUUUUAUCUGGAGCUACAGGGCUCCAAAUUGAGUUCCGUAAAUUUUCCCUGAAACUAGACUCAUAUACCAUUUCACCAUAAAAAUUUCAGAAUUUUUAACCCAGCAAAUUAGUACAGUUUAUUCAUUAAACCUUCCCCUGUUUCACUGCCCAACGGUUCUGACCCUUCCUCACUAAAAUUUACUUAACUCUCUGUAAAAAAUUUGAAAAAUGGGUUUUCUUGUUUCUAAUAAAAAUAGACUCAAUAAGGAUUCCAAGGAUAUAAAUUUCAUGCCAUAAUUAAUUUUUUACAAUUUUUGGUAAUUUUCCAAAGUUAGAACAGGGGAUCUCGAAAUCAAUCCAGCCCUGUUUUAAUAAAAUUCAGAUAUCUCCAAAAAUACAACUCUUUUGCUUAUUCUAUUUCUUUCAUAUGAAAACAGACACAUCCAGCUUCAAUUUCAUAUAUUAUUCAGCUUUCCAUUCAUUUUCCACCAUUUAUGGUGAUUUUUCAAAGUUACCCAACUGCUGUUGUUCAACACAGUUUAUAAUUAAAUCGUUCCUUUUUCGUUUUUGAUAUUUUCUCCCAUCUCAUACAUGGAUCGAUUUAGUGUCCAACUCAAUAUUUACCCCAUAAAAUUUUCCACCAUAUGGCAAUAUUCACCUUCCACACUUUUUCGUUGAACACUCGGAAUGUUAACCGUUAUUGGUGGAUCUCGCACUUAACACCACCACUGAAUCGGGGAAUCAUCACUUAGCAACCCCUCGGGGGAAUCAGCACAUAGCAACCCCCUUUUCAUUUCAAAUAUACAAUGGAUAUCGCACUUAGCAACCCCUCGGGGGAAUCAGCACAUAGCAACCCCCUUUCACAUUUCAAAGAUAUGGUGGAUAUCGCACUUAGCACCACCAAUGAACCGGGGAAUCAGCACUUAGCAACCCCUCGGGGGAAUCAGCACAUAGCAACCCCCUUUCACAUUUCAAAGAUAUGGUGGAUCACGCACAUAGCACCACCCAUAAAUCAGGGAAUCAGCACACAGCAACCCCUUUUAUAUACAACAUACUACGGCUUAUUCCGAGUGUUCAACCCAUAACCCAUAUAUUGCAACCCUUUAUCACCUUUCCCGAUUUAACAACAUUUUUAGGAUAUUGCCAAACAUUUAUUUUAAUUCCAAAUAAAUCUCAACAUAUAUCAAAUAAUAUCAAAAUAAUACAUUAAGUCACGUGUUUACUUACCUCGGUGCAAAAUAUCGUAAUUUUGCACUUUACUCCACUAUCUUUUCUUUUCCUCGUUUGAUAUACUCUUCACGUCUUUCUUGAUCUAUAAUAGCAAAUUUAACUCGUUUAAAGUCCACAUUUAUUAAAAUAAUCCACCACCCAACUUUUUGAAAAUUACAAUUUUGCCCCCAAACUUUUGCAUAAUUACACUUUUGUCCCCAAGCUCGGAAAUUAAACUUCAUCACUUAUUCUUAAGUUUUAUAACAUGCUGAACAUUUUUCCCUUCUAUGGAAACAUCAAAUUCCCACUCCAACACAUACUUUUGAAUAUUAAUUAUUUUUACCGAUUAUGUCUAUUUACCCGUUUUCGCUUAAAAUUGCUUAGCAAAAGUUGUUUAACAUAAUCUCUAGCUUCAUAUUCCACCAUAAAACAGCAAAAUAAACACAUUUCACCUAUGGAUAUUUUUCCAAAUAUGAACCCUAACAUGAAUUAAUGGUAGAAUAAGCUAAACCAAGUUACCGGGACUCCAAAAAUACGAAGAACAUUAAAAACGGGGCUUAGAAUCACUUACUAUGGAGCUUGAAAGCUUAAAAACCCUAAAUAUGGCUUCCCCCUUGCUGAUUUCGUUCACCAUGAAGAAGAUGAGCAUAUUUUGCCAUCUUUUUCCCAUUUAAUUCUAUUUAAUAACCAAAUGACUAAAAUGCCCCCAUUUAAAAAAAUCUAUUUCACCCAUUUCUUAUGUCUAUUUUUGUCCAUCAACUAACUAAUGGUCUAAUUACCACAUAAAGACCUCCAAUUUAAAAUUUCAUAACAAUUAGACACCUCUAAGAUGUAGAACUCAACUUUUGCACUAUUUACAAUUUAGUCCUUUUGACUAAAUUGAGUGCCCAAACGUCGAAAUUUUCGAACGAAAUUUUUACGAAAUUUUUCCGUGAAAUUGUAGAUCAUAAAAAUAUAAUAAUAACCAUAUUUUCCCUCGUCGGAUUUGUGGUCCCGAAACCACUAUUCCGACUAGGCCCAGAAUCGGGCUGUUACAACUCUCCCCCCCUUAGGGAUUUUCGUCCCCGAAAAUCUUACCGGAAAAGAGGUUUGGGUACUGUUUCCUCAUAAUUUCCUCCGGUUCCCACGUAGCCUCUUCCAUUCCAUGUUUUUGCCACAACACUUUCACUAAGGCUACACUUUUAUUUCUUAACUGUUUGACCUCCCGAGCCAAAAUCUUUAUGGGUUCUUCUUCAUAAGUCAUAUCUGGUCGAACCUCAAUCUCUGUAGGAGAAACUAUAUGUGAAGGAUCCGAACGAUAACGUCGCAACAUCGACACAUGAAAUACAUUAUGUAUCUUUUCCAACUCUGGCGGUAAAGCUAACCGAUAUGCUACAGGGCCAACUCUCUCGGUAACUUCAUAUGGUCCAAUAAAACGUGGACUUAGUUUGCCUUUACGACCAAAUCUCGGAAUCUUCUUCUAUGGGGAUACUUUCAAGAACACUUUAUCACCCACUUGAAACUCAAUUUCUUUUCUCUUUAAAUCCGCAUACGACUUUUGCCGAUCUGAGGCAGCUUUUAGGCAAUCACGGAUUAUUUUCACCUUUUCUUCAGUUUCUUUCACCAGGUCGACUCCAUGAAUCUGAUUCUCACCGAGUUCAGUCCAAUAUAAAGGGGUUCUACAUUUACGCCCAUAUAAUGCUUCAUACGGUGCCAUUUGUAUACUUGACUGAUAACUAUUAUUAUAAGCAAAUUCAACCAGUGGUAGAUAUUUCUCCCAACUGUCCUUCAUUUCUAAAAUACAACACCGGAGCAUGUCUUCAAGAACUUGAAUCACCCUUUCUGAUUGUCCGUCAGUUUGCGGAUGAAAUGCAGUACUGAAAUUCAAUUUCGUACCCAAAGCUUCCUGUAACUUUAUCCAAAACCUCGAAGUAAAUCUCGGAUCUCUAUCCGAUAUAAUAGAUUUAGGCACCCCAUGUAGUCUCACUAUUUCAGCAACAUAUAAUUCAGCCAACCUGUCAAGUGAAUAAUCAAUGCGUAUCGGAAUAAAAUGGGCUGACUUUGUCAAUCUAUCCACAAUUACCCAAAUAGCAUCUUUCUUCUUUGGAGUUAAAGGCAAUCCUGUCACGAAAUCCAUCGUGAUACUGUCCCACUUCCAUUCUGGAAUCGUUAUCGGUUGAAGUAAACCCGAUGGCACUUGAUGCUCAGCCUUCACUUGUUGACAGAUUAAACAUUUUGUUACAAAUUCCGAGAUAUCCUUUUUCAUGCCCGGCCACCAAUACAACUUCCUCAAAUCAUUGUACAUUUUCACACUACCCGGAUGGACUGAUAAAUCACCACUGUGUGCCUCACCUAAAAUAGUCCGAAUUAGCUCAUCAUUUCUCGGUACACAUAUUCUGUCCCUGAACAUCAGGCAAUCAUCUGAACCAAUUUGAAAAUCUGAGUCAACACCUGCUUCACACUGAGCUCUCUUGGCUUGCAAUUUACUGUCAUUCUUUUGAGAUUCCCGAAUUUGCUGAAGAAAUAACGGUCUAGCUCUCAAUUCAACCAACAUUGAGCCAUCAUCAGAUAAAGUUAACAUCGUACCCAUAGCUCUCAAAGCAAAUAAAUAUUUUCUGCUCAAGGCAUCAGCAACCACAUUAGCUUUCCCGGAGUGAUAAUCAAUCACUAGCUCAUAGUCUUUGAUUAGCUCGAGCCAUCUUCGUUGCCGCAAAUUCAAGUCUUUUUGACUCAUCAAAUAUUUCAAACUCUUAUGAUCAGUGAAGAUUCGGCACUUUUCACCAUACAAAUAAUGACGCCAAAUUUUUAAAGCAAAAACAAUGGCAGCCAAUUCUAAAUCAUGCGUCGGAUAAUUCUUCUCAUGCGGUUUCAACUGUCUCGAAGCAUAAGCUAUUACUUUGCCCUCUUGCAUUAACACACACCCAAGGCCAUUCAACGAUGCAUCACUGUAAAUUACAAACUCCUUCCCGGACUCAGGUUGCACCAACACUGGCGCCUCAGUCAAUAAUGCCUUCAACUUUUCAAAACUCUGUUGACAUUUAUCGGUCCAUUCAAACUUGACAUUCUUCUGCAGUAACUUAGUCAUAGGAGAAGCAAUCAUCGAGAAUCCCUUGACAAACCGUCUGUAAUACCCAGCUAAGCCCAGGAAGCUUCUAACUUCAGUCACAUUCUUUGGUGGCUCCCAAUCAACAAUUGCUGAAAUUUUGCUUGGAUCAACCCGAAUACCUUCACUUGAAACUAUAUGUCCCAAGAAUCCAACCUCACGAAGCCAAAACUCACUUUUGCUGAAUUUAGCAUACAAUUUCUUUUCUCUCAGAAUCUGCAACACAGUUCUCAAAUGUUCUGCAUGUUUCGAUUCAUCCCGAGAAUAGAUUAAAAUAUCAUCUAUGAACACCACCACGAACUUGUCUAAGUACAGCCGAAAAAUUCGGUUCAUCAAGUCCAUAAAAAUAGCUGGAGCAUUAGUAAACCCAAAAGGCAUUACCAGAAAUUCAUAGUGUCCAUACCUCGUUCUGAAGGCGGUUUUCGGCACAUCAGACUCUUUAACUCUCAACUGAUAGUAACCAGACCUCAGAUCGAUCUUGGAGAACACUGUUGCCCCUUUUAAUUGAUCAAACAAAUCAUCAAUUCUCGGCAAAGGAUACUUGUUCUUUAUGGUCACCUUAUUGAGCUGACGAUAGUCAAUACAAAGUCUCAUAGAGCCGUCCUUCUUUUUCACAAAUAACACAGGAGCACCCCAAGGAGAAAAACUCGGUCUCACAAAUCCUUUAUCUGUCAACUCUUGUAACUGAGCUUUUAAUUCCUUCAACUCAGUCGGAGCCAUUCGAUACGGUGCAAUAGAAAUCGGUGCAGUACCAGGUAACAGAUCAAUAGAAAACUCAACUUCUCUAAUCGGAGGUAACCCAGGCAAUUCCUCUGGAAAUACAUCUGAAAAUUCACAGACUACCGGCACUGAUUCAAGCUUCGACCCAGUUAUAUCAGUAUUCAACACAUAAGCAAGAUAAACUUCACAUCCCUUUCUCAAGUAUUUCUGAGCAGACAUGUGCGAAAUCACCAUAGGCAACUUAUUCGGCUUCUUUGUUUCAAUCCGGAGAAUUUCACCAUUUUCACACUUUAAUUCAAGAAUUUUCUGUCUACAAUUCACCUUGGCAUCAUGCAAUAUCAACCAAUCCAUCCCCAAAAUAACAUCGAACUCAUCAAAUGGUAACAACAUCAAAUUAGCCAGGAAACAGUGACCUUGAAUCAUUAGGGGGCAAUUCUUGCAAAUCUUAUCAACUAAGACAUACUUGCCUAAUGGAUUUGAUACUUUAACUACAUAUUCAGUGUUUUCAAUAGGCAAUUUCUUACUAGAUACCAAUUUCAUGCAUACAUAUGAAUGAGUAGAGCCGGGAUCAAUCAAAGCAAUAACAUCUAUAUCAUGAAGAGAAAAUGUACCAGUAAUCACAUCGGGAGAUGAGGCAUCCUCUCGAGCACGUAUGGCAUAAGUCCUGGCAGGCGCUCUAAUUUCUGAUCCUCCAGCUGCAUCUUUCAUCACACUUUUACCACUGACUUUGCUUCCCACAUUUCUCGGCGGUCUCCCUCUACUAACAAUAUCACCCGAUCCAGCUCUUGGCAAAUUUUCUUCCUCUCUUCUCUCAGGGCAAUCUCUUACAUAAUGCUCUUGGGAACCACACCUGAAACAAGCUCGUUUAAAUCCCCAACACUCACCAAUAUGUCGCCUGCCACACUGUUGACAUUCAGGCCGGGUGUUUCCUACAUUGCCCACACUUGCUACAGAGGUAGCUCGAGUUGUAGCUCCAGAAUACGACCUCCCUCGGUCUCUGCGUGAAUACCCAACUGAACCAGUUGGUCGUGGAUCCAUCCCUUUAAACUUCUUCGAAUGAGAUUGAAAUGUUCUGCCCAUUGUCCUCUUCCUUACAUCUCGAGAUUCCAUCUCUGCCCUUCUCUUUUCUCUACUCAGUUCUUCAGCUUUACAGGCCCGAUCAACUAACACCACAAAUUCUUUUAACUCUAAAAUCCCAACAUGCAAUCUGAUGUCUUCAUUUAGCCCCUCUUCAAAUCUUUUACACAUAAUAGCCUCCGUAGGCACACAUUCCUGGGCAUAUUUACUAAGCCGAACAAACUCCCGUUCAUAUUCUGCUACGGACAUUCGGCCCUGUUUCAACCCGAGAAACUCUUUGCGUUUUUGAUCAAUAAAUCGUUGGCUUACAUAUUUCUUUCUAAAUUCUUCCUGAAAGAAGUCCCAAGUAACUCUUUCUUUUGGAACCACCGAUAUCAAUGUUUUCCACCAACGAUAUGCCGAAUCCUUCAAUAAAGACACAGCACAUUUCAAACAUUCUUCAGGGGUGCAAGAUAAUUCAUCAAAUACCCGAAUAGUAUUUUCAAGCCAAAACUCAGCUUUUUCCGGAUCAUCAUCAACAUUGGCCCUAAAAUCUUCAGCCCCAUGCUUUCGAAUUCUAUCAACAGGUGGCUUACUUGAUCUCACCAAUUCGGCACUCCGUGGAGCUACGGGGACCGGUUGAGGAAUAGGAGGGGGUGGAGGAGGAGGAACAUUCGGAUUUACACGGACAUAUUUUAUAUACCAAUCACUCAUCAUUCGGAGGAAGGCUUCCCGAGCCUCAUCCUGUCCAUGUGUCUCAUGUCUACUCUCUUCCUGCGCGGUCCCUUGCGCGAGAGCCGGCGCGUUACUUUCAACAUCAUCUGCCACACUUCGAUCAGGAUCCAUUUACUAUAUAAAACAAAAUUUUAAAUUGUCAGAAAUCAUCACACUAUCACAAUAAUUUUAUGGCAUGUAUAGACUGACUUCCACACGUAUUUUAUUGGUCCGAGAACCGACUAAACCGUAGCUCUGAUACCACUAAAAUGUAACACCCCUUACCCGUAUUCCUUACCGGAAUAGAGUAUGAGGUAUUACUAAAUUUUUAAAAAUUUUCGACAGCAUUCCUACUUAUUUUUGCUUAAACCUCCUGCAAAUUUAGAACACAUUCCAAUAUACCAACCAAUUUCAUUUGUAUAAACACACAUAUAGUUUAACUAUUAAUAAACACUACAUUUAAAAGGGAACCAUAACAUGUAUUUACAUGAUGAUCCCACAUUACAUAAAGUGUCUAUACAUGCCAUAAAAUUUCGGAACACUAGUAGUAAAAUAACCCAAAUGUGAAGGAUAGUGUAGAUGAUUGUCUGACUUCGUUCCAAUUUUCGAGUUGUUGGAAGUCACUAUAACCAAGAGAAAAAUAAAAUCGAGUAAGCAUAUAGCUUAGUAAGUAAACACAUGAUAAAUAAGUAAUUACUCCCAUAACUACACCAAAAUAUAAACUUAUUCAUGAAUAACAAUAAUUUAUUGUUUAGGCAAUUUCCAGCAAGCUGUUUUUCUGCGUCAUAGUCGCUAAUUUAUUUUUAUCUGGAGCUACAGGGCUCCAAAUUGAGUUCCGUAAAUUUUCCCUGAAACUAGACUCAUAUACCAUUUCACCAUAAAAAUUUCAGAAUUUUUAACCCAGCCAAUUAGUACAGUUUAUUCAUUAAACCUUCCCCUGUUUCACUGCCCAACGGUUCUGACCCUUCCUCACUAAAAUUUACUUAACUCUCUGUACAAAAUUUUAAAAAUUGGUUUUCUUGUUUCUAAUAAAAAUAGACUCAAUAAGGAUUCCAAGGAUAUAAAUUUCAUGCCAUAAUUAAUUUUUUACAAUUUUUGGUAAUUUUCCAAAGUUAGAACAGGGGAUCUCGAAAUCAAUCCAGCCCUGUUUUAGUAAAAUUCAGAUAUCUCCAAAAAUACAACUCUUUUGCUUAUUCUAUUUCUUUCAUAUGAAAACAGACACAUCCAGCUUCAAUUUCAUAUAUUAUUCAGCUUCCCAUUCAUUUUCCACCAUUUAUGGUGAUUUUUCAAAGUUACCCAACUGCUGUUGUUCAACACAGUUUAUAAUUAAAUCGUUCCUUUUUCGUUUUUGAUAUUUUCUCCCAUCUCAUACAUGGAUCGAUUUAGUGUCCAACUCAAUAUUUACCCCAUAAAAUUUUCCACCAUAUGGCAAUAUUCACCUUCCACACUUUUUCGUUGAACACUCGGAAUGUUAACCGUUAUUGGUGGAUCUCGCACUUAGCACCACCACUGAAUCGGGGAAUCAUCACUUAGCAACCCCUCGGGGGAAUCAGCACAUAGCAACCCCCUUUUCAUUGCAAAUAUACAAUGGAUAUCGCACUUAGCAACCCCUCGGGGGAAUCAGCACAUAGCAACCCCCUUUCACAUUUCAAAGAUAUGGUGGAUAUCGCACUUAGCACCACCAAUGAACCGGGGAAUCAGCACUUAGCAACCCCUCGGGGGAAUCAGCACAUAGCAACCCCCUUUCACAUUUCAAAGAUAUGGUGGAUCACGCACAUAGCACCACCCAUAAAUCGGGGAAUCAGCACACAGCAACCCCUUUUAUAUACAACAUACUACGGCUUAUUCCGAGUGUUCAACCCAUAACCCAUAUAUUGCAACCCUUUAUCACCUUUCCCGAUUUAACAACAUUUUUAGGAUAUUGUCAAACAUUUAUUUUAAUUCCAAAUAAAUCUCAACAUAUAUCAAAUAAUAUCAAAAUAAUACAUUAAGUCACGUGUUUACUUACCUCGGUGCAAAAUAUCGUAAUUUUGUACUUUACUCCACUAUCUUUUCUUUUCCUCGUUUGAUAUACUCUUCACGUCUUUCUUGAUCUAUAAUAGCAAAUUUAACUCGUUUAAAGUCCACAUUUAUUAAAAUAAUCCACCACCCAACUUUUUGAAAAUUACAAUUUUGCCCCCAAACUUUUGCAUAAUUACACUUUUGUCCCCAAGCUCGGAAAUUAAACUUCAUCACUUAUUCUUAAGUUUUAUAACAUGCUGAACAUUUUUCCCUUCUAUGGAAACAUCAAAUUCCCACUCCAACACAUACUUUUGAAUAUUAAUUAUUUUUACCGAUUAUGUCUAUUUACCCGUUUUCGCUUAAAAUUGCUUAGCAAAAGUUGUUUAACAUAAUCUCUAGCUUCAUAUUCCACCAUAAAACAGCAAAAUAAACACAUUUCACCUAUGGAUAUUUUUCCAAAUAUGAACCCUAACAUGAAUUAAUGGUAGAAUAAGCUAAACCAAGUUACCGGGACUCCAAAAAUACGAAGAACAUUAAAAACGGGGCUUAGAAUCACUUACUAUGGAGCUUGAAAGCUUAAAAACCCUAAAUAUGGCUUCCCCCUUGCUGAUUUCAUUCACCAUGAAGAAGAUGACCAUAUUUUGCCAUCUUUUUCCCAUUUAAUUCUAUUUAAUAACCAAAUGACUAAAAUGCCCCCAUUUAAAAAAAUCUAUUUCACCCAUUUCUUAUGUCUAUUUUUGUCCAUCAACUAACUAAUGGUCUAAUUACCACAUAAAGACCUCCAAUUUAAAAUUUCAUAACAAUUAGACACCUCUAAGAUGUAGAACUCAACUUUUGCACUAUUUACAAUUUAGUCCUUUUGACUAAAUUGAGUGCCUAAACGUCGAAAUUUUCGAACGAAAUUUUUACAAAAAUUUUCCGUGAAAUUGUAGAUCAUAAAAAUAUAAUAAUAACCAUAUUUUCCCUCGUCGGAUUUGUGGUCCCGAAACCACUAUUCCGACUAGGCCCAGAAUCGGGCUGUUACAGCACUCAUUGGUUUUUGGAAUAAAGGUUCCAUACUUGGAAAAUCUAUCAACCACAACAACAAACCUCGCAAACCCAUCAGAUUUAGGCAAACCAAUAAUAAAAUCCAUAGACACACUCUCCAAUGGACGUUCCAUAAUGGGCAAAAGUUGCAAUAAACCAGUCGACGUUUUCAGCUCUACCUUGUCUUGUUGGUACACAAGACAAGUCUUCACAUAGAUCUCAACAUCAUCACCCAUAUGAGGCUAACAGUAUCUGUAACACCCCCAUACCAUGUUCGACUCAAGGAACCUGAUAUAGGAAUAUUACAUUUGGUGCCAAAUUAAUUCUUGGCUAAUUACUAAUAUAUUUGAACAUAAAAACGGACGCUUGGAACAUACUUAAUAUUUUUCCUAAGUACAUGCCAUUCUAUUCAAAAUUUGAAAACAUACACUGUUGUUGCUUGAAGAUGUGAUGAGAUGAAAGUUUGCAAUCUCAAAUUCAACGCUUCAAAAAUCACUGUACUUAAUCUGCGCACGGAAACAAACCGUAUGCUGAGUAUAUUUACUCAGUGGUAUUACUAUAAUUCAAAUACUUAAAGUAAAAUAUUAAACUUAUAUUUUCAAUCAUAAGCCAUUCUCUCUCAGUGGAUUACUUAUUUGUUCAUCUUUUAAUUUCAUACUACCAACUAGCUUAAUUAGCUUUAAUCUACUGUAUCACAUCAAAAUUAAGUAAAAAGGACUUAAUUGACUUACCAAUUAAAGUUUUAAGCUUCAAAACCUUAAUUUUCCCUAUUCUUUUUCUUUUCUUCUUUCCUUUCCCCUGUUUCGAAUUGCUCUCUGUUUCUUUUCUUCUUUGUUUUGUUUCUUUUCUUUUCUUAUUUUAAUUUAUUUUAUAUAUAUAUUAGUUAACAACAACAACAACAACAAUAAUAAUAAUAAUAAAUAUCUAUUUACUUAAAAAGUAAUUAAAUAAAUAUAUUAUAAAUGUAUGAAUACUAUUAUUACAUUUGUAUAUUUUUAUCACCGUACGCUUGACUUUAAUCUAAUUCAAUUCAUAAUAUGAUAUUUAUAAUAAAUUAAUUUAAUAAUAAAUAUCUUUAGUUUAAAAUAUAAGUAAAUAAAUAAUUAUAUUGCAAAUUUUUACAUAUAUUUAUUACACAUGUGUUUUAUCAUCACCAUACACUUGUCCUUAUUUUAUUAAUUAUAAUAUAAUUAUUAUAAUUUAACAUAAUUAAAUUUAUAACUAAUUUAUUUAUUUAUAUUAAUUAAAAAAUCUUAGAUUUUUGUUUUGUUUGCCGCCUCAACUUAUGCUAAAUGAGUUAUUUUUCAUUUUGGUCCUUUUUAUUUUCUUUUAAUUUACAAUUCAACUUUUACUCUUUAUUCACUUUAGUCCUUUUUCCUUAUUACUCUUAAUUAAGCUAAAUGCACCUAAUUAGAACCUAAUUAAGUACACCGCUAGUCUCAUAAAUUUUUCUAAUAAUUAUUUAUGAACUCAUUUCACUAAGACAGAGGCCCAAUAUUGCACUUUUUCGAUGCCCGUGAAUUUUGGGUCAUUACAGUAUCGGUCCUCCAAGAGAGCCAAUGUGUGGUGCAUACUUAAAUUGUGCAUAUACGUCUCGAUAAUCUGAUCUUCGGUCUGAUUAUAUAAACAUAAAAAAUUAAUAAAAUUAAUAAUGUUAACAACUUAAUAGUUAUUAAUUAAAAUUAAAAAAUUUAAUAAUAUUUUUUUACCAUUUGCAAUUGGAUACCAAAAAUGUGUUUGUCAUCCAAAAGAAUAAGAGGCAUUGAUAUUUUUAAAAUUAUAAAAUCAAAUAAAAUUAAAGAAAUUACAAAAUAUAAAAUUAAGACAACAAGAAUUUGAGAGGCAUUGAAUGAAAAUUUGAGAAUAAAAUAGCUGAGAGAAUAAGAUUGAGAGAAUAGGAUUUUAAUGCAAAAGAAAGAAAAUAAGUUUGAUAUAUAAAGCAAAUAAACUAACCGUUUGAAAAAAAAAACUAUUAGAAAUUAGCCGUUGGAUAUUUUGACUACUAGAAAAAGUUAUAAUUGGACGAAAAUAGUCUUGUUGGACGCGUUUUUUAUUUUUCUCUCUAAAAUAAUCUUUUUUUUAAAAUUUGAGAAAAAAAAUCUAAUUUCCUAAUUAAUUUUUAAAACUUUUAAAUGCUAAAAGAAUGCCAUUAUCUUCUUUUAUUAAUGGCCUUACGCUAUUAUUAAACAAAAUGGCUAAAUGCAUUUUGUAGGAAUGGCAAAAUGUGAUUGUUUUUUUUUUAAAGAUAAAUUUAUUAAUUCAUUCAAUGAAUGGAACCAUACAAUUUAGGAGAAAAACAAAACACUCAUCAUAAAUGGGGAAUGACAAGCUCUAUUAACACAGCAAAGGCUUUAACCUCAGCAUCAAUAGAAAUAUAGAAUAUAAUGAUGUUGACAAUUGGCUUUGUCACAACUCAGGCACGACAUAUCUAAAGUGACUACAAACACUUAACACGAUAUGAAAAUCAACCCUGAAUGGUCCAAAGAAUUGAACAAAAAUCGACAAAAAAAUCGAGCAUUCAUCAAACUAUAGAGGACGACAACAAAACUAUCCCUAAAAUCAUUUGUAAAACUAAGAUUAUGUGAAUAAGCAAUACUAAAAACCGUACUACAAGAACAGACAAAAACUUCUAAAAUUGAAGACUUAUUAAACAUUGGAAAAACAAACAGCAACAAAAAAACAUAUAAAACUUAAGACAACACAAGUCCAAAUUGACUCGUGAAAUCAUUUAUUAUUUUGAAAUAUUCUCAAAACACAUAUUAAAAAACUGACGAAGAGCCAUCCACUUUCCAAGAAAAACUACUGGUGACCGGUGAAAUUUUAGCGAAUGACAGGAAUCGUCUUCUAUUUAUCAUAACUUGUAAAGGCAACAAAAAUACCUACAAAAUAGAUUCUCAAACUAAAAAAGAGAAAAGACGUGUGAAGUAAAUGAGAAGAAGAAAGAAAGAAAGAGUUAAUGGGAGAGGAAAAAAGUGAGAGUGAUAGCCAACCCGAAAACAGACACCAUCAUCACUGAGCAAAACAAAGAUAAAACACAAACCGCUUCCAAAAAUGUCAUUUUCUUUUGUAAAUUCGCAUGGCUUUUUUUUUUCUUUCAUUUAAAAUUCUAUAUUUAUAAAUGAAAGGAAGUUACCUUCCCUGUCUAUAUAGUAACUACCAGGGACAGUUUUUUCUAUAUAUAACUUCCAUUUUUGAAUGUCUUUUUUAUAACUACCAAAUACCAAUCGGUAAUUUUAUUAUAAUUUCAAAUGGAUCCGACCUAACUUUGAUUAUAUCCCAAUGAAUCCAACAUUGAAGUUGGUUAUUUUUUAGCAAAUCAGAUAUGUCCUUGAAAGAUACAGAUUGUAAGAGGGCCAAUUAUAGUAAUGAGAAAUUAGAUAUUUUAAAAUAUGUAUUGGGAUCAAAAUAAAUUCAUGUUUAUGUGUUUAUGUUAUUUCUAUCUUUCAAAUAUUUAUAAAUUUAUGUAAGUUUUAAGCGUUAAUAAAUUAUGGGUAAAGUACCUAUUUAGUCAUCUAAGUUUAUCCGUGUUCUUAUUUUGGUCACCCAUUUCAAAAAUUUGUUAUUUUAGUCAUUUCCGUUAGAUAGGUUGUCAAUUUUAGUCACUCCUAUUAGAUAAGUUAUCAAUUUUAGUAGCUUCACCGUUAAAUGCCUUUGGUCACCAAACAAAAUGCUGACGUGUUUGUCUUUUGAUUGGUAUAAUAAUAAAUUUAGCCCUUAACACUUUGCAUAUUUUAUCAAUUUGGUCCUAAUUAUAAAUUUUUUAAAUAAAUUUAACCCUCAAUAUUUGUACACUUUGCAUAUUUUACAGAAUUGUUGUAUUAUUUUUUCUGAUUUGGCACGUGUAUGGAAUAGGUCCGAUAAAUCAUUAGAACGUAAGUAAUAUAAUUAAGAUAAUAACAGUAUUUUUAUAAUAUGUCAAUUAAUUAGUUUAGCUUAGUUGGUUAAGAUGCUUGCUCUUUUACCUUAGUACCUUGGUUCAAAUCUUGUUGGUAAUAAUUUUAAAUCUUUUUUGUACUUGUUGCAUUUAUUUUUUUAAUCAAUUAACUGGGCCCAUUUCGGUAAAUUUUAAAAAAAUAGGGCUUUUUAGGUAUUUUACCCAGUUAAUUGAUUAAAAAAAUAAAUGCAACAAAUACAAAAAAAAAUUCAAAUAAAUGCAAUAAUUCUGUAAAAAAAAUCCGGUGUUUACUUCAAAUAAAUAAGGAAAAUAAUGAUUUGAAUGUUUCAAAAUUCAAUUUUAAACCGAAAAAAUUAAAAUUUAGAGGUAAGAAAGGAUCUUUUUCGACAAAAACUGCGGCAAACCACCUUCUGCUGUUUGUCAGCGAGUAGAUCUUGAAAAGUUAUUCGAAAUAAAAAAAAUCGUCUCAAUCGGACAACCAAGCGAAAAGUUAUGGCUUUUCAAAGUUUUCCAAACUAAAAAACAUAAACUGUUCAUCCCACGUUAGCAAAUCGCGUUCUAGAGGGAGCGAUUUGCUUCCACGUCAGCAACUCGCGCUGACGUGGGCGCGAUUUCCUAGCACGUACCCUGACAUCGCCCUGACGUGGACGCGAUUUCGCGGAAAAUGGACAAUUCCGGUAAAUAAUUAAAUAAUGGGCCCAUUUCAGUAAUUUUUGAAAAAAAGGGCUUUUAUUGGUAAAUUGCCCAAAGUUUUAUAAUCUAAUUAUAUAUUUUUUUAAUAUUUAUAUUUUUUCUUUUUAUAAUAAAUAAUAUAUGUAUUCAAGUUCUUAAAAUUACAACUUUUUAGAAUUUGGAUUAAAUUGACAAAAUGUGUAAACAUUGAGGGUUAAAUUUGCUAAUUUUUUUUAGAAUUAGGACCAAUUUGAUAGAAUAUGCAAAGUGUUAAGGGAUAAAUUUGUUAGUAUGCCAAUCAAAAGACUUCCGUGUCAGCAUUUCGUCUAAUGACCAAAAGCAUUUAAUGAUAGAGUGACUAAAAUUGACAACUUAUUUAACUGAAGAGACUAAAAUAACUUAUUUUUUAAAUGGAUACCAAAAUAAAAAUACUGGUAAACUUGAGUGACUAAAUAGAUAGUUUACCCAUAAUUUAUUCAUGCUGAUGUUUCCAUUUUUGUGUAUCUAUGAUACUGAAAUUUUUUUUUGCUUAUGUUCGUGUUUUUUUUUUGUAUUCAUGGUAUUAUAGAUGUAAACCUUUCCAUUUUGAUGAAUAGGUUAGUGUCCUCAAAAAUGACAAUUCGAAAAUUUAUUUUGGAGGAGCUGAUUCCCCUUAACAAUAAAUGGGUUAGGGUAUAUGAUACCACUUGAGCUGCGUAUCUCAAGUGGUACCAUAUACCCCAACAUGUGACCUAUAUACCAAAUAUUAGAGGUUUGAAUCUCAUUAAGGUUGAGACACUUACGUUGUAUCUUGGCGGGUGGCCAUAUGUUCAUUUACUAUCGAGGUGCCCUCUCUGUGAAUCGCAAACGGCUUGUCGCCCGGGGGUUCAAAAUCCACCCAGGGAACAAUAUAUUCCAUUGUUGAGGGAUUAGAUUGGCGUCCCCGAUGAUGACACUUCAAAAACUUUUCUCGAAUGAGCCAAUCCUCCCUUACAAUAAAAACCUAUACGAGGACAUAUGGUCGAGGCGCCCCCUCCAUGAAUUGUACACGGCUCUCCAUAAAGGGAGACAAAACCUUCCCUUAAUGAAUAAUACCUUUCAUUGUUGAGGGAUCAUGUUGACAUCGCCGAAAACGACACAUCAAAUAUUUCUUCCGGAAGAGCAAAUCCCCUUCAUCGAUUAUGAAAUUUUUUAAACCUUUAUGUUUCACUUAGUAAUACAUUUUUUGUGGAAUUCGAUACAUUCUUGUAUUUAUGCUAUAUUUAUUAGCAGUUAAGCAAUUGAUUAAAUUAGCUCAAAUUGUAAUUAGCUUUGUUAGUUAAAAGUUUGUUAUCCAGCCUGUAUAUAGCUAGCUUCUAGAUCCUUUUUAUUCGGAUCUUACAUUGGUCAAAUACUUGUAUAUAAGCUAUUGUAAAUGAUUCAAAUAAUAACAGAAAAUCAUUUUACCAAUAUUUCCACAUGGUAUCAGAUGUUCUCUCUUCCGCUUUUCUAUUUUUUUUUUGAUAUUUGAGUUUUAAUCUCAGAUCUCUCUUUUUAUUUUUUGCCAUUUUCAUGGCUACUGUUGAUCCAACUCAGGCUUCAAGCCCUUACUAUCUCCAUCCCAAUGAAAAUCCAUCAUUGGUUCUGGUAUCUCCACCUCUUUCUAGCUCGAAUUACCAUCACUGGUCACGGGCAAUGCGGAUGGCUCUUCUCUCCAAGAACAAACUUCAAUUUGUUGAUGGCACUAUUUCAGCUCCUCCUACUACAGAUCCUCUGUUUCCAGCUUGGGAGCUUUGCAACAGUAUGGUAAUAUCUUGGCUUAAUCGUUCUAUAACACCUUCAAUCUUUACUAGUGUUUUAUGGAUUGAUAAAGCCUCUGACAUUUGGAUUGAUCUUCGUGAGCGUUUUUCACAAGGCGAUCUUUGUCGAAUAUCUGAUUUACAAGAAUAGAUCUAUGCUUUUAAACAAGAUGAAAAAUCUGUCACUGACUAUUUUACUGAAUUGAAAAUCUUAUGGGAUGAGUUGUUGCAAUUCCGGCCUCUGCCUUCUUGUUCCUGUACUACACCUUGCUCUUGUGGUGUUGUUACCACUGCUAGCUCUUAUCAUACGCAAGAUUAUGUGAUUCGGUUUCUCAAAGGAUUAAAUGAUUCUUAUUCUGCUGUGCGAUCUCAAAUUCGUUUGAUGGAUCCUUUACCAACCAUCAACAAGACUUUUUCCAAUGUGCUUCAACAGGAACGCCAAUUAUCUGUUGUUUCCUCCAAGGUGUUUGCUGGUAACACUAUUAAAUCUGGUACUUCUUAUAAGAAAUCACUAUCUCCUUCUUCUACUUCUUCCUCAGUUUCUGGUGAUAAACGCUAGUGUACUUUUUGUCAAAUGCCAAGGCAUACUAUUGACACUUGCUACAAGAAGAAUGGUUACCCUGAUAGCUCUCGUCCUCGCAGAUCAGUCUCUCGUGCUCACAAUGUUAUCUCAAAUGAUUAUGAUGAUUCUUUGGAGGAAACUAAAUCUGUCACUGCCGUGCCAAGUGCUACUUCUAAUGGUUCUAGUAUUAAUCUUACUUAGGAGUAGUAUGAUCAGCUGCUUGCCUUGCUUCAUUCAACUACUUCCCUUUCCAAACCACAUGACACACCAUCUUCAUCCCACCAACCUCAUAUUACCAAUCAUAUCAUGACCAUCCCUCCCAAUCCUAUACACUUGCUGCUACUGAUGGUAAUACUCUUUCCACUUCCUCUAAGGUUAAAUUUUCUUUUUGGAUAGUUGAUACUGGAGCUACUGACCACAUUACAGAUUCAUUAUCCUCAUUCACAUUUUAUAAACAAAUUAAACCUAUCUUUGUUAGCUUACCUAAUGGUUCAAAAGUACCUGCACAUUUUUCAGGGACUAUCAUUUUCAAUGAUACUUUAUGCUUAACUGAUGUCUUAUAUAUACCACAAUUCUCUUUCAAUCUUUUAUCUGUCACCAAACUUACAUCUAACCUCCCUUGUUGUUUCACCUUUUAUACAUCUCAUUGUACUAUACAGGCUAUACCAUCUUGGAGGAUGAUUGGUACAGCUAAAGCACAGCAUGGACUUUAUACAAUGGAUAAUCCUGUUCGCCAGUUCACUUUUCCACAACAUAAUGCUCUCAUCACUCCCACCUCCACCACUGAUCUUUGGCACCAUCGAAUGGGAUAUAUCUCUGAUUCUAGGAUCAAAUUACUUGCUGGUUAUAUUCCCUUCCUUACCUUUCAUGAUAAUACUGCUUGUAAAACUUGCCAUUUUGCUAAGCACAAGAAGCUUUCUUUUCCUGUAAGCCAAUCUCAUUCAAAUAACAUUUUUGAUCUUAUUCAUAUUGACAUUUGGGGUCCCAAUUCAAUUAUUUCUCUUCAUGGUCAUCGUUAUUUUCUCACAAUUGUGGAUGAUUAUUCUCGAUUUACAUGGAUUAUUUUGCUCAAAACUAAAUCUGAAGUCCGUGGUCAUUUACAAAAUUUUUUUGCCUUGGUCAAAACACAAUACUCUUGCUUCAUCAAAAUUGUAAGAUCUGAUAAUGGCAGAGAAUUUGACAUGCUUUUUUUUAUGCCUCUCAUGGCACAAUUUAUCAAACUUCUUGUACUGAAACUCCUUAACAAAAUGACUUAGUUGAACGUAAACAUCAACACAUUCUUAAUGUGGCUCGUGCUUUACUUUUUCAAUCUCAUUUACCACAAAUUUUCUGGGGGUAUGUUGUGCUACAUUCUGUCUUCCUUAUUAAUCGAACCCCAACUCCCUUACUUUCUAAUCAAACACCAUUUGAAAAGUUUUAUAAUACCAAACCUGAUUAUUCCAUGUUCAAGGUUUUUGGAUGUUUAAGCUAUGCUUCCACUCUAUCUUCCCACCGCCACAAAUUUGAUUCUCUGGCAAGGCAAUGCAUAUUUCUUGGUUAUAAACCUCAUGUUAAAGGUUAUAUCCUCCUUGAUACAAAUUCCCGAGUCAUAUUUGUAUCACGAAAUGUUACUUUUCAUGAAACCAACUUUCUUUUCUCCCACCAAAACACCUAUGAUUCCAUCUCCCCCCUCAAUUACUUGAACUUGACACUACAUAUGAUGAUCCUUCUCCACCACACUCACCACAAAGAACCCACCACCACCACCACCACCACCUUCUCCUCCUCCAUAUUCUCGUCCACAAAGAACCAGGCAGCAACCCACCUGUUUACAAGAUUACCAUUGUUAUAAUGUUACAAUUGCUGCCAAUCAUCCAGGUACACCACAUUCUCUUACUUCCUUUAUCUCUUAUAAACACUUAUCACCAUCACACUUGCAUUAUACUCUUGCCAUUUCUAUUUUUAUUGAACCUAAAACCUAUAAGCAAACCAUCCAACAGCCACAAUGGAUCAAGGCAAUGCAAGCUGAGAUUAGUGCUCUUGAAGAGAAUAAUACCUGGAUCUUCACUACCUUACCAGAGGGUAAAACACCAAUUGGGUGCAAAUGGGUGUUUAGAAUAAAACAUCGAGCUGAUGGAUCAAUUGAACGUUACAAGGCUCGAUUAGUUGCCAAGGGUUACACACAAACUAAAAGGGUUGAUUAUUUCGAAACAUUUUCACCUGUUGCAAAGAUCACAACUGUCAGACUUCUUCUAGCUUUGGUUGCUUGCAACAACUAGUACCUUCACCAACUAGAUGUAAACAAUGCUUUUCUAUAUGGUGGUCUCCAUGAAGAAGUUUACAUGCUCCCUCCUCCUGGUUUUGCACCUUCUGCUUCUAAUCAAGUUUGCAAAUUACAAAAAUCACUCUACGGAUUGAAGCAAGCAAGCAGACAAUGGUUCUCCAAGCUCACAACUGCCUUACUUACCCUUAGAUACAUUCAAUCUUCUGCUGACUAUUCUUUGUUUGUGAAACGACAACAAGAUACCUUCACAGUUCUUCUAGUAUAUGUUGAUGAUAUCAUCUUGACUGGUAAUUCACUCUCUGAAAUUACCAAAGUGAAGGCCUAUCUAGAUCAACAGUUUCGGAUUAAAGAUCUUGGAGAACUAAAGUACUUUCUUGGCCUGGAAGUUGCUCGAACUACUGCUGGAAUUCACCUCUCACAGAGGAAAUAUGCUUUGGAAAUCUUAGAGGAUUCCAGAUUUAUGGAUUGUACACCUGCCAAGACUCCAUUAGCAUCUAAAUCAAAGUUUACUUCCAAUUCUGGUGCCCUCCUUCAUGAUGUUACUUCAUAUCGACAACUUGUAGGAAGGCUAAUCUAUUUGACAUCAACACGGCCUAAUCUUGCCUUUGCCGUGCAACAAUUGAGCCAAUUCAUGGACAAACCUAUUAAUCAACAUUUGCAAGCUGCUCACCGUAUUCUUCGAUACUUGAAAGCUUGUCCUAGCAAUGGUUUGUUUUAUCCAUCUUCUUCUCCUCUUGAUCUUCGAGCAUUCAGUGAUUCAGAUUGGGCUGGAUGUCUCGAAUCUCGGCGUUCCAUCACCGGAUUCUGCAUCUUCUUGGGAAACUUACUAAUCAGUUGGAAAUCUAAGAAGCAACCAACUGUCUCGCGUUCAUCUUCUGAGGCUGAGUAUAGAGCUUUAGCUUCCACUGUUUAUGAAGUUCAAUGGCUCCAUUAUCUUCUUCACGAUCUUGGUACCACUCUUGUCCGUGCAACACCCUUGUUCUGUGACAACAAUUCUACUAUUCAGAUUGCCAAUAACCCCACUUUCCACGAACACACCAAACACAUAGAAAUUGAUUGUCACAUCGUCCGGGAAAAGGUAACCACUUGCAUUGUGCACCUGAUGCCUUGCAAAUCAAGUGAUCAACUCGCUGACCUCUUCACCAAGUCACACGCUGCUCAACCAUUUCAUGACAUUGUUAGCAAACUGGGAAUGCUUAAUAUCCAUUCUCCAAUUUGAAGGGGACUAUUAGUAGUUAAGCAAUUGAUUAAAUUAGCUCAAAUUAUAAUUAGUUUUGUUAGUUAAAAGUUUGUUAUCCAGCCUGUAUAUAGCUAGCUUCUAGAUCCUUUUUAUUCGGAUCUUACAUUGGUCAAAUACUUGUAUAUAAGCUAUUGUAAAUAAUUCAAAUAAUAACAGAAAAUCAUUUUACCAAUAUUUCCACAAUAUUGUCAUUUCAUAUUUCAAUUAUUUUUCCUAUUACUUUUGUACAAUGUCUUAGCUUAUCGCAUGUUUUAUAUAAUUUAUUAUGGUAAUUUAAUUUUAAUUCUAACUUCAUUUACUUGAGAAUCGGAUGAUUUCAUUAUAUAUAUUAUGUUGAAAACAAUUUCUGUUAAUUUUCUUAUGCAUAGCUUAAGGUAAAUAAUUAAAUUUAAAACCAAACAUAAAAAUCCAAUUUAUUUUAUCAAUUUCUUAAGUGAGCUCAUGUGAUUUUAUUUUGGCUUAAUAUAUGGGUUUGUUAUUUUUAUUAUUAUGAUAUUUAUAUUUAUUUUUGUCCAAUGUGAUAGAAAUUAUUUUAUUACUUAUAGAAAGCAAUGUUAAUUUUUUAAAGUUGAAUUCGAGUUUUAGAGUUAAUUUAACUAAAAUUCAUAAUUAGUUAAUAAUGUCAGUAAUUAACUUUUAAGAAAUUAACCAAACUAAAAAAAAUACUAGAUAACACUUUAUUUAAUAAAUUAAAUAAAUUCACAAUUAAUACUUAAUUUAGUCUAUUAAUAAAUUUAUGAAAAGUCAAACCUAAUAAUAUUAGUAAUUAAUAUCCAUCAAAUCAAAUUUAAAAUUCGAAUUAAAUUGUAAAAGUUAACACCAUAACUUUGUAUACCAAAGAUGUAUAACUUUUGCAAAAUAAAAGUAACAUAUUGGAAAAAAACUCACAUGUAAAAUUGGGUAAACUAGUAUUCACCCAACUAUUAGUAAUUUUUUUUUAGUUACUCAACUAUUAAAAGUACAAAAUGAUUACCCAAUUAUUCAACUUUUUUCUUUUUGGUCACUAGUUAUUAAAUUACUAACAAAAAUAAACUUGUCAGCUUUUAAAAUUGGCAUAAUAACAACUUUGGCACUCAACAUUAUACAUUAUGUCAAUUUAGUAUUGAUUCCAAAAAAUUAACCUUCAACAUUUUCACAUUAUGUAAUUUGGUAUCUUUUCUUUUUGUAGUUUCACUUAUAUUUGUGACAUUGAGGGGUUAAUUUUAAAAGAAUGAAAAAAGAUGAAAAUUAUUGCCUUAGAUUUUUGGAUGUUUCUAUUUUUGUAUAUUUCCAAUCAAAUUUAAUUGAUAAUUUUUUUUAACUUUUUAAGUGAAAGCACCACAAUAAAAAACAUAAUUGGAAGAAAAAAAAAAGACCAAAUUACACAAUGUGUAAGCGUUGAUGGUUAAUUUUUUUAGAAUUAAGAUCAAAUUGACACAAUGUACAAAUGUUGCGGGUUAAUGUUACUAUUAUGCCAAUUUUAAAAGCUCACACCAUCUUUCCAUCAUCCAUGGUGAUAAAAAAAAUCAAAUAAUUAUGAUACUAUUUUGUAACUUUUCAUAAUUGGAUGACAAAAAAAAUUAUUACUAUUAGUUGGAUGAUUUAAGUAUAGUUUACCCUAAAAAUUUUGUUAAAUUCAAGUAACAAAUGAUGAAUUAAAACAUUUUAUUUUAUCUUUGUAGAGUGUGCCUCGUAUUUUAGAUGAAACAGAGUUGACGUCGUGAAGAAGAAGAGCCGUUGUCCCAACGACGCAACUACGACGUCCUGAGGAGAAGUAACGCCAUGCCUCGACGACACGAUAAUGAACAUCUCAACGAGCCAAUAGCAACUUCAUGACAUGGCGAUUUGUUCUCCACUUAACCAGGUUUUUUUCUCUUAGUUAAACUCUAUUAUAUUUUUCCAAUCUAACUUUAAUUAUUAUAGAGAUGCUUUAGUAAUAUUUGUACAUAAAAUUGAGCCUAUAAAUAGGCCCCUUUAAGAGAGGGUUUGUGUGAAUUUUGAUAAAUCUUUAUAUUUAAGGUUCAGUGUUUAUUUGUUUCUCUAUUUUGUACUUUCCUUUUUUUAAUUUUUUGUAUUUUUAGUAAAAUUUCUUGGCCCAUAAUUUUUAUUCUUUUCAUAUCAGUUUUUUCACAUAAAUAUUUGUAUCCAAUUUUAUCAAAUUUAAUUUGUGUUGGUUGCAUAAUUCGAAUUCGACCUAGCAAUUUUGAAUGUGAGGUUUUUUAAAUGAAGGACAAAUUAGUAAAUAUAACAUGUUACUUUGAAAGUUUUUCUUAAGACAUGGACAAAUCAGUAAAUGCAAGGCUACAGUAUUUGUCAAGUCUCACCAAAAUUCCAUCAGCGUUACGUCAACAAUAUAAAAAGAACCCCACCAGAACUGAUUACAGGAAUAAAUCUCCUCCUCCUCAAAGAUAUAAAAUUUUCCCUAGAAAAUUCCCGUAUUUUUCUAUCUAAACAAAUACUCCCUCCUUGCGAGAGCCCUAGAUGUCAACAUCAAGCCAACCUCAGUUCCGUUAUACCCAGACGCCAUCGAAGGUCCUCCAUCUCCGUAAUCUCCCAUGGGAGUGUGCGGAAGAGGAACUCGUCGAACUUUGUAAACCCUUUGGGAAGAUCGUUAAUACUAAAUGCAAUGUUGGCGCCAAUCGAAACCAAGCUUUUGUUGAAUUCGUAAGCUUCUAAAUCCAUCAAUAGUUUUUUUUCUUUUUUCUUUUUUGUAAUUUAUAUACUGCCUUGUGUUAGGUUGAGGUCAAUUAUUUACUGAUACUUUCUUGUGUAAAUUUGAAUUGUAAAUUGGAAAAUUUAGUCUUUUUUGGGUGACAGUUUGUUUUGUUUAGCAUGGCAAUAAUAAUUUAAUUUUCGGCUGAUUUUGUUCUUUGCAAUGUAGAUUUCAUGGGUCGAUGGCAGAAUUGAAUUUUUAUUUUUAUUCAUUUUGUUGUGUUUUAGGGAUGAUGGUUUUGUUCCACUGUGUUAGGUUAAGGUUAAUUACUAAUGCGCAAGAUGAAGUUUUAUUUUUGUUUUCUUUUCUAUCAAAUCACAAAUAUAAAUUUGGUGGGUUAGUUGGUAAUUGGAAUUUUUGAUCGAUGAUGGUUUUAUUUUUUAGUGUAAAUAUUUUAUGGGUUAAUUUCAAUUAGUGAAGUCUAGAUAAUCUUUUUAAAGGGUGAUCAGUGAUGGUUUGAUGUUAAGAAAAGGUGUUACUUUUAUUUGCAGGCAGACUUAAAUCAGGCUAUUUCAAUGGUUUCAUACUAUGCUUCAUCAUCAGAACCAGCACAGAUUCGUGGAAAAACUGUGUAUAUUCAAUAUUCAAACAGACAUGAAAUUGUCAACAACAAAAGUCCUGGAGAUACCCCUGGAAAUGUGUUGCUGGUUACCAUUGAGGGUGUGGAACCUAAUGACGUGACCAUUGAGACCAUUCACUUGGUAAGUGAUUAUUUCUGGCACAUGCAUUUCUUCAAAUAAAUGCGACCAAUUGUUACAGAUUUUCUGUUAUUUUUCUGGUACAUGCAUUUCUUCAAAUAAAUGUGACCAGUUGUUACAGAUUUUCUGUUAUUCUGCUAAAAGAUUAGGUAGUUUAAGGUGUUAAAGCCUUUUUAUGCUUAGGGGCUUCUGGUAUUUGCAUAAGGAAUUGGAGUUUUGGAUGAACCUUGCUCCAAGGAGCCUAUCGGUAUGAGUAAAUGAAGAUAUCUUGUAUUUAUAGUUAUAAAUUGACCUGUUUUUAGUCAGUCUAAAUCUUGUGAAGCUUUGUUUUGAAUGAGAAUACUUGUUGCGAUUGUGAACUAUUAAAAUAGAAAGUUCAUGAAGUGUCCUUCAGUCAACAGAUUGAUUGAUGAUCUUUUUAGGUAAUAUACCUCUGAAGUUAAAGGUACCAUACAGUGAAAGUAUCAGUUUUAACUAUCAUAAUAUACAAUGAAUUAAACUGUCUUUUUUUUCUUGUUCUUUUACAUAAUAGCAUCAUUUUAAUUGAAAUCAGUUGUAUCAUAGAUGGUUAUGCCCCUUAUUUAAAUUCCUUUGUUGGAGAUAGUUUGGAGAUAUUGUCAUGUACGUCAUACUCCUUUCUAGGGUAUAUCCUGAGGCAUGUAUGCUCAGGUGUCAUUCUGAACUUAUUUCUCGUCCAUUUGCAUAUGCUAACAGUGAUUUCUCCCAUUAUGCUAUUGCUUGUGAUGUUUGCUAGUGUUCUUUUUAAUUUAUAUUUUUGAAUUUAUGAUCUGUGAUUGUAUCUAAUUGAAUUUGGUUUCAGGUAUUUUCUGCAUUUGGUUUUGUGCACAAGAUUGCUACUUUUGAAAAGGCUGCUGGAUUCCAGGUGAGAUGUCAAAAAUAUGCAUUUGGAUCUUUGGAGAUUGCAUAUCUUCCAAUAUCAUACUCAUUUUAUGGUAAAUUUGGCAGGCAUUAAUCCAAUUCACUGAUGCUGAAACUGCAUCUUCGGCGAGGAAUGCAUUGGAUGGGAGAAGUAUUCCCAGGUAAGUACUAUAGCCUUGCAUCCUCCUUCUUUAACACAUAUUCUCAUUUUUCUCAUCUAGCAUCACUUAAUUCUCUUCUUUAUAUUUAUUGUACGAUAAGUGGUUCAGGAAUUUCAUAAAAUGUGGUUGUGUUGUAAUGUUUUAUCAUGAUAUUUUGAAUUUAGGUACUUGCUUCCAGAUCAUGUUACUUCUUGUUACCUGAGAAUCUCAUAUUCAGCACACACUGAUCUGAAUAUCAAGUUUCAGUCUCAUCGGAGCAGGUAAAAGUGCAUCCAAAAUAUCAUGAUAUUUUCUAUUUAAAGUUCAUCAAUGUUUGGUCGUGUUCAUUUCUGAAAUCUGAAGUAAUGAUCCUGCGAAAUAUUUAUUUUGGCAUCUGAUAUGUUUCUAAUCAAUGUGUAUGCUUUUUGUCAUCUAGGGUGUUAGUGAAGCCUGGUAGUCAGCACACAGAUGUGUUGUCAUGGCCGCUUAGUAAUUUUCUUAAUCUUUUGAGCACAGUUCCCUGCAUUUUCAAAUUACAUUAUAGUUGCAGUUGUUUAUAUGUUGAUUGUGGAAUUACGACUUUGGGGGCAUCAUGAGUAGGGGGAGCUUUUGCUCCUUCUUUCAUACAAAUAAAUUUUGUAAUUGACUGAUCAUUGGAGCAUAUCAUGUAACAUGCUAGUAAAAUUAAUCUGAUAUGAUGUUUGAAUAUUGCUUUUAAACUUGUUUAGUGUUUCCCAUUGCGAACCAUUCAACUGUUGUAUGCUUGCAAUUAUUUAUUCUAUUAGCUGAACAAUUCGUCGUCAUGGAACCUGAGUUUUUUCAAGUAUUUUAAAGUCAUAACAAUAGUCUCUGCUAUGAUGUUCAUUUUUCUUAUAUAAUAAAAGUGGGUCAGCAUGCAAAUUGGCAGAAGCUUUACUUACUUGUGGGGGAUAGAGACUUCUGUAUGUUAUUGUAAUUUUUAUUAAUAACAUUCAUUUGUUGUAUUCCAUAAAAAUAUUAUCUAUUUUGCUUCUCUUUGAACAUUAGGAAUUGUUUCUGGAAGCAUUGGUCGAAUUCAAGGCUGUAGCAUUCAGAGAAUGAGUUGUAAUUUUGCUAAGAGUCUUCAAUUGGCAUGUAUUUGAAAGCUUUGAGUUGCUAUUUGCUAUAUGGUUGGAACCAACUGGAUGCAGUUAGAGUGAUUGAUCUACUAUUCCUGUCAAACAAGAUGGUUCUUGACUUGAACCCAUAGUUUUUCAUGUCAUCUGAUCAUCUCGAUUACAUUUGCAGUAUCAUCUCUUUGUUACCAUAAAUCAUUUAUCCUUACUAGAUGCAAAUUUCUAUUUGACAUCAGGUGAUGCAUUUGUACUUAAUGUGAUCUGAUUUUGUUUGCUCAUUUUAUGCAGGGACUAUACCAAUCCUUACCUUCCUGUGAAUCCUACUGCAAUGGAAGGACUUAUGCAGGUAGAUUUUUCAGUUACAAACAUUUGACCUGUUUUAUAAGUUGGGUGUUCAUUAAUUUGUGGUAAUCUCCAGCCUGUAGUUGGUCCGGAUGGAAAAAAGCAAGAACCUCAGAGUAAUGUGCUACUUGCUUCAAUUGAAAAUAUGCAGUAUGCUGUGACAGUUGAUGUUCUUCACACGGUAGGAUGUUGUGUUGCUGCCCCAUUGGCAUGCCAGUACUGGAUUCUUGCUUGAAAAUUUUCUCAUAUUUUUAUUCUACUGGUUACAUAUUGUAGGUGUUCUCAGCAUCUGGCACGGUCCAAAAGAUUGCCAUAUUUGAGAAGAAUGGUGGAACACAGGCACUUAUUCAAUAUCCCGGUAUGCUUUCAUUACAUGAAUUCUGAAUUUGUUUAUUUCCGUCUUCAGUAAUCCAUACAUACCUAAUGAUUUGAUACCCAAUUAUCCUUCCAUGCAAAGAGGACUUGGACAAUUGAGUUUUUUCUCUUUUUUGGUCAUUCUUUCCCUACUUCACGAACCUUUCCUACAUAUGGUAUUUUAAAAAAAAUUUAUUUCAUUAUUAAGGUGGGCACCUAGGCACUAAUGAAAGACCGGACAGUAUAUGUGCCUCACCACUCUUUGUGAAGGGAAUUUGUUAAGAUGCAUCUUCGGCACCUUUGCAAAAGCAAAAGCAAAUCAGAUCUAAUGUCUUCUCUUUUAAAGUUUCAUGCAAAGUGCAUUGAUGUGUAUAUUAUAUAAUAACUAUAAUACCAUUCUCUUGGCUUCGCUUUGUUCGGUUUCAUUUGAAAUUUGUUCUCUUUCUGAUGAUUGUGGGAUACUUUUUUCCACACCUUAUCUCAAAGAUUUGAACUUUGAGAGCGUCCAGGUCUAUGGGAUGUGCCUUGGGGACCAUUAGACAUGUAAUGACCUGCAAAUUACUUGGUUUUGUAAUUCAUGUUUUUACGUUAGAGAGUAUUUUGAUCGAUUUUACUGAUGUUGAAUGUAUUAUAUCCAGAUGUUACAACCGCAGCAGUUGCCAAAGAAUCCUUAGAGGGACACUGCAUAUAUGAUGGUGGCUAUUGUAAGCUUCAUCUAUCAUACUCUCGUCAUACUGAUCUCAAUGUAAAGGUAUAAAUAUGUGCUUUUUGAGUUAAUGUAGGAAAAAUAACUUAGGACUUCAUUAGAAGAUAAAGGGAAUCUGUUCUUGAUUGGGAAAAAAAGGGGAUCUUGUCCUUAAAUUGUAUGCUUCUUGACUAUGUUAUUCGAAUUUGGAUAUAAGCGUCAGAUAAGUGUAUGUGUCUGGCACAGGUAUGCUCAAAUUUUUAAUAAGUUUUUCCCUAUAUUUAAAGGGUCCCUGGAGGAUCCCUACAUUCAUAUCCAAAAAUGUGUACUUAAAGAAAAAUAAAGUCAUAGCAAUGUUGUCACAUGAUUCUGAUGAGUUCAUCUUUUGCCGCAGGCAUACAGUGAUAAAAGUAGAGAUUACACAAUCUCAGACCCGAGUUUGCUUGCAACACAAGUUCCGGGAUUGCCUGCUGCUCCAAAUGCUUGGCAGAAUCCUCAGGGUGUUCCGGUGCACCUUGGUACUGACUAUUCGGCUUCAGCUGCAAUACAGGGUCAACCUCUUGCUGGACAAGUUCCUGCUUGGGAUCCAAAUUUUCAGGCUAGGCUGCCAUAUGGAUCAGUUCCUGGUCAAACAUAUCAAUCGUUGACAGCCCCUACAUACGUUAAUGUGGCAAGACCUGCAGGUUCAUCACCCCUUUCACAACCUGGUGCAUCUUCCAUGCCCAUGCAGCAGCAGCAGCAGCCGCCAUGGGCUAAUGUUAGACAAGGAGGUGCAGCGGAGCUGGGUCAGCCUCCUUAUUACAGUCGAUGACCUGUGUCUAUUCUAUAAUGAAAUUAAAUGAUCCUUUGUCUAUCUUAUAUUCCUCAUAAGGAUUCGCCAAUUGGAUCUCUUAAGUUAUGACUGAAAUUAAAAUUUUUUUUAUUGGAUUGGAAGUGUUGUUUUUUUUGUUUGUUUUGGAAACCAUCUCCACCAUUGAUGCCAAAAAGAGGUAGCGCUGAAAAUGAAAUGGUAAAUUAAUGUACAAGAGAUGCUUUCAUGCUAAAAUUGAAGUUGUGAUUUAGAAAUGAUGAAGGUGCCUGCAAUUUCAAUCAUCUUGACACCCUUUUUCAUCUAGUAUUUGUGUCCAGAGAUAAACUCUCAUGAACUCUUCACAUGGGGAAUUUUGGGAAAGAAAAGGGAAAUAUAUUGUGGGACUGUACACUUUGAUAUACCGUGAGUAGGUAAAGUAAGUGGUUGUAAAUGCGUUUAGAGUAUUUAUAAAAUAGUCGAACACCAUUCCCUAUUUAAAGUAUAACAUAUUAUAGCACAUUUAUGCACAGCAUUGAGUUUGCCAUUUCAAGACAGGUUCAGAUUCUUUCAGUUUCAGCUCAUUUAUGCACAGCAGUGCUUGAACAACACUAUGUUUUGCGUAACAUGUUUUAUUCCCAUGAUAAUGUCCGAUCAUUAGAACAAGUUUCCUUGAAGUGUUAUCUUUUCAAUCCAAACCCACCAUAUGAUCUACCUUUUGCUUCACUCAAAACCCUUUGCUUCUUUGAUCGUGCGAUUGACGAUGAAACUUUAAAGGCGUUGGUUUCUAAGUUCCCUGUUCUUGAAGGCUUCACAAUUGACCGGCGCCAUAGAUUACGUAACUUUAAAGUUUGUGUCGAAGUAUGAGGCUUAAGCACCUAGUACUUAGAUGCAUAGUGGACCAUUAUUUGAAUCUAGAAAUUGAUGUGUCAAGCUUGUCAACUUUUAAAUUCUGUGGAGAUUUAAUGAAGAUUUCUUUCACUUCUUUGCCUUCCAUUGUUGAAGCCACCGUUUUUCAAUGGAGUUAUAGAACAUAUGGGCAAGAAUUUUCCAUUAGAACAUGGUUAAGAAAUCUUGUCCAUGUAAAGCAACUCAGUGUGAAUUCUUGGUUUUCUCAGGUAUAUUUAUUUCUCAGUAACUAUUUGUUGCUUUGUUUUAAAUGGAUUUUGAUUGUUUAAUUGAAGUCUCAUAUCCAUUUUUUGUUCUUGGUAUGGAAAGUUUCUUGCUAGAGAACAAUAGGUAAACAAAAAUGAAUGGAAGAUUUUCAAAAAUCUUAAGGUCUUUUCUUGGUCUGGUCCAUCGGCAAAAGAGUGUGAGCUCAUAGCGCUAAUUGCCUUCUUGGGUUAUUGCCCCUCUUUGGAGAUGAUUGAAAUAGAUGUGAAUAAUUACUCGGUUUCCUUAAUUCUCAUCAUUCUAUUUGCACUAUGAUUCUUGAUGGAUUUGCAGUUUAGAUCUUCGUAUUGGGAAGAAGCUGGUGGGAGUAGACCAGCUUUUGCUUUGGAGCCUCCUUUUGUUGAGCUGAAAAAAGGAGAUGGACAACUAACAACAGAGUUUCUGCAUAAUGUGAAGGAAAUUAGGGAACAUCAUUUCUUUGGCUAUAAAAGUGAGAUUGAAUUUAUUAAGCAUUUGUUGCAACAGGCAGUUAUUCUUGAGACAUUAUCUUUAACCUAUCAUAGGUUUGAAUUUGAUCUUGAAUUUAGUGAUAGAUGUAAUAAUAGCCCUAAAGAGUUAGUUUAAGAGGAAAUUUUUAGCUUGCCUAGAGUUUCCUCUCUUGUUCAUAUAUUGUUUCAUUAGACAAAUUAUUAGAAGUUCAAAACCUGAGAAGGUUGAAUGCUAUGAUGUUUGGAAGAGGAACAGAUGCUCUAAAAUUAUGAAAUAUUUGGGUCCAAUCAUCUAUUACGACAUCAUUUGCCUUUGUUCAUUACACAACAGUUUCAUUCACCUCCAAAGAGUGAACGUUUCAGCAAAGUUGCCAUCAUGACUACAUAGAACAAUAAAGAAACAUCCAGACAAAAUUGUGAAGAACUUGGUACUAUUGUGUCUCAAAAUUUCACAUCAGUUGUCCAUGUACCUUGCACACUAGGGUGUUUAGUUACAUGCCUUGUCUUCAAUUUCACCACCUUUCUUCCCAAUGCGUUUCUUAGCCUGGUUGCAUAAAGAAGGAUAUCUUCAGGAGUCAUAUUCUUCACACAUACCACCCGCUCGUUUUUGUUCUCUGAGAAAUUGGCAAGAUACAUGUUUUGAGACAUGGUUAAAAACAACGCAUACGUGAAUGCAUCAUGUCUGAAACUCAUCCAAGAAAGAGUAACUUACUGUAAAAGCCUUUCAAAUGUGGAUGCUGCCCACGAAUGAGUUCAGGAACCACCUCCAGCUGAGGGUUUUUCUCUUUAAAAGUUGGUAACUCUGACUCCAUAAAUGCCCUGGCAUAACCAUGUCAAAAUUACCAUGAGUUUGAAGAAUUCAGAAUCCAUUUAAAGGAGAGAAUUCAUAUUUGUACAUGCUUCUUGUUAUUAUUAAUUAUAACAUAGUUGAACUUGAGACUACCAUGGUAUAUGAGUCAAAAACCAAAUGUUAACAAAGUAUGGCCUUUUCAUUUACCUUACUUGAAAGGCAUCCCAAUAUUGUAUCAUUAAGUCAUUAGAAAACUUAUUCGUGUGAUAAUGCCUAGCAAAAGCAGUCCGUUAGAUUUUACCAUCCCCACAGCAAAUUUCUUUUCAAAAAUUUCUCAAGUCAAUUCCCUCUCCAGAAUAGCCUCAGUCACAUGACAAAAGAAAAUGGAGGGAAAUGUGCUUCUCUGUUUCUAUUUUGGUCCCCAAAUACUUGGGUGGAUGAGUAAUGACAAUGUUCAAUUUUUCACUACUCUUUCACCAGGUCGCAGUAAUUAUCAGUGCAUACACAUGCAGAGAUGACUUGAGUACCCUAAUGUAACCCAAAGUGCUAAGCAUUCAAAUAACUAGUACAAAUAUUAAAGAAAGCAGCCUAUCUCAAGAUGAACUCCAACAUCAUCCAAGAUAUCCUGCUUAAUCUAUGAUAUCCCACUACUUUGGUGAUCAUAUAUUUAAUAACCUACAGCUAGAUUCAGAUCAUCCAUAAUUUCAACUAUCAAACCAUCACAUUAUGCGCAGAUGAAAGUGACACAGCUUAAUACUAGCUUGAGAACCUGAUUCAUUCAUUAUUUGCAAAUUACUCAGAAGUGGUUCAAUAGUUUAGUUUAUAUAUAGAUACAAGUCUCCACAGCAUAAACAAGAAUAAUACCUAAAGUUGAAAUGCAAAUCUUAGCACAAACUCUUGGCUAACAGAUCAAGAAAACAUUUAACAAAUAGGUACCUGCUUUAUUAGGCAAACAAAGACGAGAAAAACACAUUGCAAUGUUGGAAUUGAAAAGAGAAAUGCAACAAACAUUGAGAUUUCGAGAAAGUACUUUACUCCAGAGGUGUCAAGCAAAUAUACCAAAAAUAAUAUAAGCCAGAAAGUUUAAAAGAUAAUACUCAAGAGGCUUAUAUAAAAGUUAACAAGUGGAAAAAAAAGAAGGAUUAAAAUCAUACCUGAUGCCCCGGCUACUACCUCCCCAAUCACAAUAGCUUACAAUCAGCUUUUUAAGUUGCCAAACUCCUCGCAGUGCCAUCUUCAUUUUCAAAACAUAAAAAAAUUAUUAACUAAGUAUAUGUUUAACCCCCCCCCCCCUACCCCCUCUUUUUAUUUUCUAAAUAGCAAUACAUAUAAAACAAAUGAAUUGCACCUUUUGUUUUUGCCAAUUAUUUCCAUAAAUUUCAGAAUAUAAUGCUAACUUAAAUACUAUAAUUCAACCAUAAGACAUUAAUUUUUUCAGAAAAUUCAAGAAAGUGAAAGCAAAUAGUAAAACUAUUUUGAACAAUACGAUUAAAUAAAUACUCAACACCUCCUACAACUUAGCAUUUCAACUACACAAAUUCACAAUGUAACCUACUAGUUACAACUUCGACCUACAAAUUUAUAUUCUAUAACAAACUAAAAUCCCGCUUCUAAUCAACUAUCCUUAAUGUAACAUAUAAUGAGGAAAAAGAAAACAAUAUCUCAAAGAUUCUAUCACAGGAAAAAAAAAACAAAUCAAACCCGAAAAUUUGAACAGCAUACAUAUAAAUGGUCUUCUAAAAUUGACCGGGAAAAGAGAAAACAACAACAUUUUCAAACCCAAUAACUUGAACCCAAAAUCACCCCCCAAACAAUAGAUUGCAUGCAAAGAGAUUAUAAAUAACAGCAGAAAAAAGAUAGAUCUAGUAAAAAGAGACUCGAAUUAGAAAAAAAUUAUAAAGAAAGAAAAAAAAGAACAGAGAAAUCAACAGGAAAGAAUGCAAAUAAAGGGGAAAUAAUAAUAGGCAAAAUAUGGGGAUUUUACCUGACAAACGAAAUCGAUUCUCAGAGAAGAGGAUGAGUGUCUAGACACGAAAAAAAAGAAAAAGAAUAGAGAUAUUUUGUCACGCUUUUCGUCACCUUUAUUUUUUGAUUGAUACUAGGGUUUCGUACUCCUGUUAGACCCUUUCUCGCUUUUAGAGUUUUAGUCACUGUAUCGUUUUAAGUUCAAGUCGAAAGUUUGACGUGGCUUUUUUAUUUGUUUAAUAACAAUUUUAGUUUUUAUUUAUUUAUAGAUUUUAUUAAUUUAGACUUAAUUUUAAAAAAUUAAUAAGUUUAAUUCUUCAAUUUAAUUCUAAUUAUUAAUUUUUUUCUCUCUACCUAUUUUUUUUAUGCUCUCAGCCAUAGUUAUUCAAUACAAUUUUCUGCAUCAAAUCAUAAAUUAUCGAUAAAGUUUUUUUAUUGUUUAUUAUCAAAUAAGAAAGAUUUUUUUUUUUAUUUUUUAGUAUAAUAUGUGUUGUAGCACUAUCUGCAAGAUACAUAUUUUCAUCGAUCUUGAGUCCAACAAAGUUACAGUGAAUAUCAUUGUUCUUAAAUUAAAAGAGAAAUGAAAUUAUAAAAAGAACAAAAGAGAAUAAUUGAAAAACGAAAGGAUAAUUCAACUUUUACUUGCAAUACAAAAAAUUUAUACAUGCUCUUUAUUUAUAGAGUUUCAAUUACUAUAUGUUACAAAAAUAUAACAAAAAUAAUUAAGGUACACUGUAAAUUAUUUAAGGAUUACAAGAGUUACAAGAAAAUAAAUGAUUGGGGAUUAUGAGUUUUUUUAAUAAAAAUAACUCAAAAAAAUAAUUAAUUACUUAAAUGACUUAUUUUUUUGAUAAAAUACGAAAAUAACCUAAAAUCUAUAGUAAAAAUUAGUGGAGCCAAAGUGUUUGGCACCACCAAUAUGCCAUGUCAACAAUCUGCAUUAAAAAUUAAUUUUUUAGUGAAGCCAUGUAGAAUGAUGUCACUUGUAUAAAUAUUAGAGAAGUAUUGUGAUUUUUGAAAGUAUGGGGUUUAAACAAUUUUAUCUUUUUUUAGUCUACCAGCCUAUUUGACUAUUGAAACAACUUAAAUUUUUUUUAUUUUUUUCAUCCGUUACUUUUUCUGAUUCUUUGUCCUUUUUCAUUUUUUUGGUUUUUCUUUUUAACUUUUUUAUUUAUACUUUUUAAGUUUUAUUUAUUUGUUUUAUUUAUUUGCUUAUUAUUAAUUUUAUAAAAUUUGAAAUGAAUAUUUUAAAUGUUUUAUAAUAUUUGUACAAACCCAAUAAUGCCCGGGACCAACUAAACCUAGAAUGGCCCAACACAUGUAGGCCCAAUUGAACUAGCCCAAUACUGCAGAAAACCCUAGCAGCAAGUAGCCGCAACAAGCAGCAACCUCCCCAGCCUCCAGCCGCCGCAGGACUCGGAGAUCAGCCUCCCCACGCGCGCCGUUCGCUCCACGACACCUGCAAAAACGGAUUCAAAGAAUCCGAAAGAGAAAAAACAGCAAAGACAGAUAUUGAUUUUAUUCUUUUUCUUUUUCUUUUUCGGGCUAUAAAAAGCCUUUAGAAAUCUGUAAAAGGGGGGAAUUUUUCGGUAAAAAAAGAUACGAAAAUAGAAGCAAAAAACACAGAGAAAUUUUUAAAAUACAAAGGUGAAUCGAGUUUUUCUUUUUUGUAUAUUUUCUAUUAUUAUUAUUGUUUUUUUGUAAACAAAAGUCAAAAAAAGGAGAAGGAAAACUCACCUAAUCGCCAGAGCCAACGUGCCGUCGCGGUGACCCCUCUCCGUCGCAAUCGGAGGCUGGGGUGUCGUCGGAGGCCAAGGGGGCGGCCUAGUGACGGCGGCGCAAAAGGGCAGGGUAUAAACCCUAGCAGAGCUUCUCUGUUAUUUUUUUUUUGAAUCAAAGAGGAAAAUG
Molecule: long non-coding RNA, 56559 nt
Filed under: Gossypium barbadense (sea-island cotton)
Lineage: Eukaryota; Viridiplantae; Streptophyta; Magnoliopsida; Malvales; Malvaceae
Description: long non-coding RNA (GBAR_LNC015327)
Rfam family: MIR7502 microRNA precursor family (bases 17815-17958)
Source: RNAcentral